GGGCCUGAUCUUCAUCAUCAAUUUUCGAAUCUAUAUUCUCCAAAUCCAUAAUAAUGGAAUCAAAUUUAUCAAGAUGGGAGAGUAUAGAUGUACCUUCAGACAUCCGAAGCAUAUACAAACUCUGCUUCAAAUAUAGCCGAUUCUCGACUGUCUUCUUCAUAUACAAGGCUUUCAAUUUAUCCCACAUAGCCUUGGCCGAAGUCUCCGUUGCUACCUCACGCAAUACCUCAUCGGAGAGAUUUAGGAUAAUACUGGAUCUUGCCUUCUUAUCCAUCUCAGCAAAAUUUGCAUCUGUCACAUCUUCUGGCUUUUUCUCAAUUCCUUGAAUUGCCAAGUCAACUCCGUCUUGAACAAGAAUGGCUUCCAUCUUGAGCUGCCACAUGCCGAAGUUGACAUUCCUGUCGAAUUUCUCGACAACUGUCUUUGUUAUCGUCAUUGUUGCCACAAAAUCUGUAACCUGAAGUUUGUCUCAAAAACUGGCCAAACAAAUAUGCAAAUCUCGUGAGCGGGCCCCACGGGGAUGAACGGGCCCCACAAGGUGAGCGGACCCCACGGAUGAACGGUCCCCACAGGAUGAGCGGGCCCCACCGGAUGAACGGGCCUACCAGAUGAACCUGUCUUGCAAAAUAUAACAACCAGCUCUGAUACCAGUUUGUUAGGACCGGACCAGGAAAUAGACAAACUCAAGUUAGCACAAAUUAGGCGGUAUAACCGAUCAUAUAAUAGAUAGGCGGUAGAUACCAGCCAUAUAAUAAUUAGGCGGUAGAACCGACCAUAUAAAGACGGAUAACAAAGCAAAUAAAAGACACAGAAGAUUUACGUGGUUCGGUCAAAUUGACCUACGUCCACGGGCGAGGGAGGAGCAAUAUUUCUACUAUGAAAAAGAAAUACAAAAGCCGUAGGAAAGUGGUUCCUAGGCCAAUAAGGCACUUAUAAAAGAGUUUAGAAAAUAUUCCUAAACUCAAAAACAAGAGAGCCUAAAAUAUUUGACUAAAUGGGCUAAAUGACUCAAGAAGCUAAUAGCCCAUAUAACUCUCUUGAGUGGUGCGAGUUAAAACCUUCAGAGGCCUCUUCUAUUUAUAGGAAACCAAAGGAAAAAUUCCUUUAGCUUCUACCGAUGUGGGACGAAGCACCAAAAGCAUUUGGUCAACAAAUGCGGCUUCAACAAAAAUGAAGAGGCAUACGAGCCACAAGUGGUUUCCAUCGGACCUUAUCACCACGGUAAGCCUAAACUGAAAGAGAUGGAGAAGCAUAAGCUAAUUUACUUCAAAGAACUUCUUCGUCGUAGAGGUGAGAGUGCUGAGAAAUACAUCAUAGCUUUGGCUAAUCUUCAAGAUCAAGCUCGAAGGUGUUACGCAGAAGAAAUCAAUCUUAGUAAUGAUGAUUUUGUUGAUAUGCUAUGCCUUGAUGGCUGCUUUGUCAUCGAGUUCUUGAGGAAAAGCAGACGUCGAGGAUCACACUAGCAGAAUGACCCCAUUUGUCAGAUGCUUUGGCUACGCACAGCCACUAAGAAUGACCUUAUAUUAUUUGAGAAUCAGUUGCCCUUUGUUGUCCUGCAGAAACUGUUCGAUAUGACCAAGUCAUCGCGAAGCGAAGAAGAGAACCUUAUUGACCUAGCUAUUGCUCUCCCUCUAUUCUUCAACUUGCCUCAUCGAGAUCUAAAUUCUCAUCCUACAAACUUCGCACAUGAUGAGGCGGUUCAUCUUCUUGGCCUCGUGCACAAAAUUCUGUCUGCCUCAUUUUCUGAAACACUUACUUCAACCACUUAUUCCAAUACUACACACUCAUCUCUGUUCCUAAAAUCAGCUGGUGAGCUCCGACAAAGUGGAAUCAAGUUCGAGAAGGCAGCGGAUGGUAAAUCCUCGUUUCAUAUCACUUUCGAAAAUGGUGUACUUAAAAUCCCUCCUCUAUAUGUGGGUGAUUCUACAGAAUCCGUCUUCAGAAACUUGAUUGCAUAUGAAGAGUAUAUGUCUAAUCCAUUUGAGACAUGGAGGUGUAUAAGUGAUUACAUAUUCUUCAUAGAUUUUCUCAUAGAUUCCCCAUCCAAUGUUGAAACGCUUCGCAGCCAUGAUAUCAUCGAGAAUCUGUUAGGUAGUGAUGAAGCACUCUCUACAAUGUUUAACAAGCUAUGCAAACAUGUCAAUGUUGGCCAGAGAUUCUGUUACACCAGAAUUUUUUAUGAUGUGGACAAGUACUCUCGCAAGCGCUGGCAUAUUUGGAGGGCGCACCUGGUGAGGAAAUAUUUUAAUAACUCGUGGUCUUUCAUUGCGUUUCUGGCUGCAAGUGCCUUGCUUCUCCUAGCAACUGUGCAGGCCAUAUUUUCCAUCCUACAGUAUACGAAACAGAAGUAAGCUAGUUGUGUGAUUUGUUAGUCAUUGUACUUAAAUACGAAUAAAGUCAUUGUAUUUGUAACAAAUUCUUGAUCUGUAUGAUGUAAAGAACUCUCGUGUCUUUGUAUAUUUUCUUAAUACAUCUGUCUAUAUAAGUUUCUAUAUCUAUAUAUGUAUUUGUGCCUGUGUAUGACCAUAGUGGGGGGCUAGCUUUGAGUGUUACCUAGCACUGGUCCAAUCUUAAUUUUUAAUUAUUUAUGUAUUGUAGUUAUUGUAGUUAUUGUAGUUGGAGAGUACUACUAAAUGCAAAGGACGAAGAUGAGAACCCAAUAAACUGCAAAGAAAUAGUUAAAGAAUGAACCUUUAGCAUUCAUCUGGCAAAAAAAAAAAAAAAAAUCCUUGGCAUACUAUUGUAUAGUAUAAUAGAAGUUAGACACCGUUAGAUCGAAAUUCUACCAAAAUUAGUGUACUGAAAACAUCUAAUACUGCAGGAUCUAAUUGUUACUCCUGUGGCUUAGAUAUUUUGUCUCCAAUGUUCUGACCUUUCUCAUGCUGUCACUUCACGAAGCAAAGCAUAUGCUAAAGAAUUAAAGGGCUUAAACGUUGGCUGUUCUCUUCUCUUUUCUUCAUUGGGCUCAGUCGCUCACUAUUUUCUCUCUACAAAGGAAACAUUUCCAGCCAUAUUAAAAUUAUUGGAAAAGAAUAGCUAUGAGCUCAUAUCUCAAAAUUCUUGAAAAUUAAAAUGUUUAAGAAUUUAUACGUCUUAUAUGAAUGAAUACCUUGAAGUACAGAUUAGCUUCUGCUGAGUACAUUAAUAAUAGAAGUGUGGAGGAAAAUAAAGUGUUUUCAUAUAUUGUAAUAUUGGAGAAAAGAACAAAGUGGGUAGACUAUUAAUUACUAAAAAAAAGAGUCAUUUUUCAACUAUUUAAAUUUGUAUACCAAAACUAGAAAAAAAAAAGCUUUUUAUUCUUCAUCGUCCAUAAGAUAACAGCCAAUGUUUCAAUAACGCCACUUAAAUUUUCUUUUUGUACGAUUUACUACAUUUUUCUACGUAAAAUUAGACAUAUGCCACUACGUAAUAUAAAGUGGUCUUACCAAUACAAAUAACAAUAAUAGUAUAAAGUGGACUGCCUAUGAGCUUCCCAUCCCAAAGGACUAAAAGCUUUUUUUUUCUCUAUUUCUGAUCAAGAUUGCUACACGUAAAUUUUUCAAGUAUUUCUCAGCUGUGAAAUAUAUUGGAAAUCUGAUUAGCGAACUAGUUGAAAAAAAUUUCUCCUUUGAAUUGAGUCAUAUUAGCUCAUAUUGUCCUGUAACUGAGUUUUAUAUCUAACUUGGUAUAUAACCGUUAGAUAACUUGGUAUAUAAUCUUUUAAAUUGACUAUACAUGCUGUACCUCUCACACGCACAACACACUCUUGUACCAUUCUUCUUGCACAUGUUACAUAGUUGUUUUCUUUAUGUUCAACGCACAUGGAUACACAUGCAUGUACCAACUGAGCUAGCUCAAUUGGCCACCAAAAAAAGGACUGAGUCCCUCCCUAGGCGUAGGUUAGGGGUUGCCUAACUGUGUUUCCUCUCCAGAAUUUUCUGGAGUACUAUAGUUGAAAGUUAUUUAACUCUUUUCGAGCUUCUAAAUAGAUUAGAUAGAUUCAUCUCCCUUUCAUUUCCCCCUAAUAUAGGACCAAUUGUAAUAAUGUUGUACUCUAAAAAAAAAAAAAGAUACACAUGCCUGCACACACAUUCUCUUAUAUAUACACAAAUACACACACUUAUACACCACUUCUAAAUUGUUUCUUUAUUUUCUCUCUCUCACAUACACGCACACUUUUUUCUAUUUCUUCAAAUACACAAAUGAAGGCAAUUUUUAAAAAAAAUUAAAAAAAAACAAUAUUUGUUCUACAUUAUAAUUCAGUAUUAUAAUUCAAUUAAUUAUCAAACACAUAUAAUUUAAACAAUUCAGCAACUCAAUACUUUCAAUGCUUAACUUUUAGAAUUCAAAUUUUAAAUUUCAGAUUUCAACUUUUAUCAAAUGGUUUCUAGAUGAGGUUUUAUUGAGUUUUCAGGAUUCCAACAUUGAGUUUGCAUGUCGAACAUCUUACUAAUAUAAAUAGUGGUUCAUUUUCUCAAUUGAAGUGCACCAGAGCUGGAGAGAAAGAAAGUAAAUAAAAGAACUCAGUAGUUGAGUGAAUGUUUGAGCAAAUAUCUCAAGAGUGUGACUCCAAUAAAAUUAGAGUGUGAGGCUCAAUUUAGUCUCAUCUAUUAUAAGUUUAUUUUCCGAAUAUUGUUAUUAUAUACACUUUAAACAGGUCAGAGCCUUUGCUUUGCUAAAGUCAACUCAUGAUGUUGGCAUUACGCGGGAAUCAUCUUCGAUAUGGAUACAUAACCUAUGCAAGUGUAUGUUUUCUCCAACUUUGGUGAGCGGCAUCUUCAUGACUCCUAACAACAAAACUAGCAGUGUAUGUUUGGGCUUCCCACAUGGGUGUCCUUUCUGGAAACAAAAAAUUGCUCAUCAUUCAUGUUUCCUCCAUCUUUUGAUAACGAAGUCUGGAAACACAGAACGGUAAUUAGUUAACCACUGACAAUUUCUGAGUUUCUUAAACUUUUCUUCUUGGUCUUUAGUUUGCAUACAAAAUAGAAAAUCCAACAUUAUGUCCACAUUAUGAUUCUUAUAAGGAACAGGAACAGUUUUCCAGCUAAUACUAUACAUCCUUGGUAACUGGAAUUUGACAAAUUUUUUUCCACGUUUUUAAGGUACGGACCAUACAGGCUCAAAUUAAGUUUCGAAGCAUGAAUAGAUUCCAUUUAUAUGUAUCAUCUUGUCGAAGUGUUGAUCAUCUGACUUCUACGCUUCAUAGCUUUCAUCUAUAUCUUGCAAAUUAACUUUGGUGUAUGAAUAAGAUUUUCCUUUUCUUUACCUAAGAGUGCUUCUGCAUUCAAUUUGGUUAGGAACUAAUUUUGAAGCUCUUCUUUGUUAUUCAGAGAAUUUUAAUCUACUGUCUGAUCAAAAGGUAUGUUGUGGUAUAAGUCAACUGUACCCAAGAAACAACAAGUUUCACCAGUCACCAAAAUGCACAAAAAAAAAGGAAUUUUCUGAUAGUCAUGUAGCGCUUGGACUUGCUAAUUUUGUGAUUCAUUCUAAUAGGAAUCAACCAAAAUGCUUAAAUUUGCUGAUCCUUCUUGUUGUUUCUCCUGUAGCAAUUUUUCCUGCUGUUUAUAUGUACUCAACAAAGAUGUCCGAAGACAUAUCUGACGAAAUCUCCGUUCGCAUUGAUGAAAAGUGUUCUGACCUAUCGGAUGCGUGGAGAAGGCAAUCGAUCUUCAAAGUCCAUAGUAAAUGACGGGACUUUUAUAUCAAUGCAAGUUCAAUUCCGAUUUUACACCCGUUGGACUGCAAGUAUACAGGUCGCAAUUGUAGUACAAGAUGUGUAUCGGGUCGAUCCCACGAGGAGCAAUUUAAACAAUUACUAAGCUCUUGUUUUCUCUAUUAUUUAGACUUACAAAUAAAUUGAGCAGAGAAAGUCUAAUGCUGUAAUCUACAAAUCUGAUAUACAAAUCUAGUUUAACAAAUGAUUAAUGCAAAUAGAGAAAUUUCACUUAAGGAAGAUUCUAGGGAUGUAGAUUCUACUUAUGGCAUAAACAAUACAAAUGAAUGGAUUUACUGCUUGCUAUUAUUCUUAUUUAACCAGAGAUUCAUUUCCAAAUUUACCAAAUCUCAUUUUCAUGAUGAAAUGGCCUAGAGCAAUAUAGAUUUCCCUAUUUUCAUGGUGAAAUACUACUACUACUCCGUUUUACUUCAUGAAAUGCUAAAUAAUCCACCUAAGUGUAUUUCUAUUUUCAUGAACAUACAACUUAAGCUCUACUCAUGUGUUUCCAUUGUUAUUACCAAUUCUCAUUGAACAAUAACAACUAUAAACAAGCUAUUGGUGAUCAAUCAACAACACGUAAUCAUAGCUACACAAGUAGACAAGUUACUACAAGACAUAACAAGUGUAAAUCAUAUUCAAUUCAUAUUAUUUAGCCAUAAGUUUCAUCUACUCCCUAGAUUAAGGGGUUUAGCUACUCAUGAAUGAUUUAACAAUCAAACUCACAAGUUUAUUAAUGCCAAACAUCAUGAAGUACAAGUACAAGAAAGAUAAAAGAAAGCUUAGCCAAUUGAAGGUGAAGCUCUCCAACUCCUGCUAUGCUCUUGCACAAUAUGAUUACAAGUGAAAAACUCCAAGUACUUCUCCAAGAACUCCUAUCUAGAGAGAAACUAGAUACCAGAAAGAAAACUAGCUACGUAUGGUCUUCUUUUGCUUCUCCCCUGUGUUUCUGCAUAAAAGGUGGUAGAAAGUCUACCACCUCCCACUUCAUAAUUUCUUCCACUCAGAUUUUGUAAAAAGAAGUCAAAAAUAUGAUAUUUCCUUUUGUCCAUACUCAUUUGGUCUUCUCUUUUGUUGCAGAAGCAUGUGCCACCGAUUUCUGUCCCUCAAAAUAGCUGGAAAAUUGUGAAAAAGGUAAAGAAAAACGGCUGUGGCACUUGCUGAGGAGAGAGACAGAUCCAAGCCUCGGAUCCGAGAGUUGAAAAAGGAUCCGAGCUCGGAUCUUCAGGAUCCGAGGGUUUUCAUAAUGGAUCCGGGGUCGGAUCGUCCUGACCUCGGAUGCUCUCCGCCAGAAGUACAGACGAGGGUUCGGAUCCAUCUUGUACACACGAAUCCGAGCUCGGAUCCGUGUUGACCAAUUUUCCAGUUUUUCACUUCUUCUCUUUUUCUACAUUUUUGCUCCCAAUUUCUUGUGUACUUUGUCCUCUGGAUGACCCUUACAUUUCUUUCAACUUGUGCAUGAAUUUCAUACAUCAAUUACCUUCACAAUUUCACAAAAUUAACGCAUUAAUCCACUAAUUUAUCAAUUUUUGAAACCUUAAUCAAUAUUUAAGCAAUUAUUACCAAAAGAGUUCAAAUAUGGCUUAAUCUUCUCAAAACAUACCAAAAAUUAAUGCCAAAUUCAUACAAAAUGUACGUUAAAUAUUCACUUAUCAAAUUCCCCCACACUUGAAUCAUUGCUUGUCCUCAAGCAAUUUUUCACAACUUACUUCAAUGUUUCAAUAGAUAAAACAAUAUACGUACUUUUGUCAAAUUUAAUUCCUCAAAAACCUAGAAACCAAUCAUUAUGCCAUUUCUCAGAUUACACUAAAUACUCAUAAUAUUCAAUUAAAUAAAAAUAAUUAUGCCUUAAUUUCAACAAAUUCAAAUCAAUUCUCUCACUCUAUCCUAAUUUCACAAAUAAGUAAAUCACAUAGUCAAUUUUAUGGCCUUCCUCAUCCCAAAACUUAUCAAUUUAGAGGGAUUUAUUCACAUUUCUUCUUAUUUAAAUAGUGAAAAUGUCUUUUUACGCGAAAAUCAACACUUUUAGGUGAAAAUUCCCGGUUACUCAACAUUUCACUUAUUUAAAUUGCUAAGCAUACUCUUAAUUCCAAUACCUUUUUACGCGAAUGUCGACAUUUGUAAAUGCCAACCCCCGGUUACUCAGUAUGUGAAUCAUUGGAGUAGCAAAAUAAUAAUAUUAUUCUCUUUUUUUUUAACAUAUAAUUUCUUUUUCCCUCUAAGUAUAAUUAAAGGAAGAAUUUGGCCUUGUCUUUGACUAUAUCAAUCACUUACUUAUAAAAUUAAGUAAAAAUGAUAAAUAUCAUUAAUUUUGCAAAAUUCUAAGCAUAAUUUUUCUUAUUUAACCAAAUAUACUUUCUAAAAUGUAAAUAUCCUAAUUGCAUAAUAAUUCAUUCCAAACCAAAUAAGAACUAAACUUUUCCAAAAUACACAUAGCAUUUUAUCCAAUGGAAGAAUUAGACACUUAAAAUUUUAAUAUUUUGGCCAUUUAAUUGGAAGAAUUGCAAUGAAAUAUUGGAAAAUUUUUUAGAAAAAUUUUGACAGAGUUUCCCCAUAAAAAUGGAUGAAACUCCCUGCCAACAACCUCAAUUUUCACAAAAAUUAUCCUCAUGACUAUCUCCACAUAUAAUUCCAACAUUUUUAAGCCAUAAACAACUAAAAUCAUGCAUUUCAAAACACAAUCACCCAUAAGAUAAGUAAUCCCUCCCCCACACUUAAAAUCUACAAUGUCCUCAUUGUAGAGGAAGGUAAAAGAACUGAAACUUCCCUCACAUAGGUGGUGAUGCAAUUUGAAGCCCUUACUCAUCACGAUCAUCCAAUUUCUGUUCAAAAUGAGACAACAAAGGUACCAAACACCAUAAGUAGCACAAGAUGAUUUAAAUUAAAGAAAAAGCUACAAAGUUUGUCUUAACAAAAGAAAAGAAAAAUAAAGAAAUAAAAGGUCUAAUUCGCUAAAAAGUAUCAUGGCUGCUGGGAACGAGGGUCUACUGCCUCCUCGGCUCCAUGAGGUCCCUGUGAGAUACCCAUAUGGCCCUCCUCCUGAUGAGGUGUCGGUGUAGGGGACCGUCGGAUAUGAAAAUGAUCCUCGAUCGCACGAAGACAGCGAUCAUGUCGGUCGAGUCGCUCAGUCAUCAUCCGUUUCGUCUGGUCAAUGCGCUCGAUGACUCGCGUUUCCAUACAGCAAAUAGCAUUGAAAAGCUCUUGCCACUUGGAGAGCGUUUGAGGAGGUGGUCAUGGAACCGGAGGAGGAAGAGUCUGCUGUGCCUCCGUCUCUUGAGUUGCCGCUUGUGGUUCAGUGUGAGGCGGAGGCUGAGUAGAAGUUGAUGCUUCUCCUGUGUCCCUGACCAAAGCAGCUCCAAAAUCCGUAGAAAUACCCAAGGAUUUGAGUAUUGAAGCAUUUACCUCCUCGGCCGACCUAGUUACCACAGCUCUCUCGGUUCCAAUGGGAAUCUUGAGCUUCUCAAAGAUGAGGGAGAGCAGCCGAGGAAAUCCAAAACAUGUCUCGCCGGCCCUCAUACGAGCUGUGGUUCGUAUAUAGCUGAUGAUAAUGCUGGGUAGAGGAAUACCAGUCAACUGCCUACCCACUCCAUGUAUCAUUUUAUCCAGAAAAUAGAGAUCGCUAUUUCGGAUCUCCCGUUUGCCACUCUUUUUCGGCACCACAUUGAAGGCAAAAAGAUAGAAAAUCAGGUGGUACCGAUGCUCGAAGGAGUCGGCAUAUACCGUGAAUUUUUUCGAACUUUCUCGCUCACGGUAUUGACCCUUUAGACGCCCCACGGCUUCUCCCACUUGCCAAGGGUCUCGAGCUUUGAAUUCCUUGGUCAGUUUGACAUCUUCGCCUUCGUCCAUUAGUUGAACAAAUUGUCGCAGUGCAUCUCGAUUGAGAACCACUCUUUUACCUCGAACCCACGAGACGAUGAGGUUGCCACUGUGGCUCUGCUUGUUCUCCACAUUGGCAUAGAAUUCCCGAACCAGGUUGGGGUAGUAGUGCUUGGGCAACUGAAGGAUGUUCUCCCAUCCAAGUCUCUUGAAUACUGUCGAAAUGUGGUAGUGCGCAUCCACCUCUGGUGCCAAGUGUUUCUCAAUUAUGAUCUCCUUGUCCAGUCCAGCUUCAUACCACUCUUGGUUUUCGAGCGAUGUGAAUCGUGUGGUAUCGUAGUUUGGCGGUGGCUCGUCACGGCUAGUGGGUGCGGUCUUCCGGCGAGAGCGAGGUGGCGGCUCUGGCGAAGGAGAUUCUUCUUCAGGCGACUCCUCUUGCAAGGAAGGGGUGUGUUCCUCACUUGAAGAAGGAGUAGGAAUGCGAGCCCUCCUUGUACGAGUCAUAGUACCUAUAAACAAGAUGAGUAUUUAUUAGAAAUGAUAGAAACUUGCUCAUACAUGUUAAAUAGGAAUUUAAGAAAAUUUCGGCAGAGUUUCCCCUUGAAAAAUGGCUAAACUCCCUGCCAAACUGUACCAAAAUUUAAACAAAUAAACUUCCUAACACUUCUCAAAUCCAAUUCCCACAUGUAGAGAGGAUAUUACCAAUAAGGAAAUCAUUUCAUGCAUAUUAAGUGCAAACAAUUGAAAAUUAUAUCCAUUUGCAAGAAUGAACACUCAAACAUUUGAGAAUAUCUCCAAUCCAAUUCAUCACACUCAUAACACUCAAUAAAAAAAACACAUGAGUUCCAAUUCAUCCAAACAAAUACUAAUUAUCUCAAGUAAAAGUGGUUUAAUAUGCUUAACUUAAUUGCAAACAUAAUUUUUUUUUUCAAUGGGCUUUUGCUCUAAUGAUAGCAUGUCAUUAAUAUAACAGUGAUUUAUACUCCUCGGAACAAGUUCAUAUAUCCAAUGAAAAUAAAAUUCACAAGUCUAAAUCACUGAAAUGCUCAAGCCCAAAAAUUGAGAAAAAUCUUAAAAAUAUCACCAAAUCCACAGUUUUCUCAAAAAUAAGCAUGAAAAUAGUUGUAACAAUCUAUUUAAGCACAAUGUAGCACAAUUAUAUCAAGAAAUUCCAACAAAUAUGCAUUUAUCAUAAUAUUCCCAAAAACUAAAAAAAAUGCAAAAUUAGAAGUUAUGAAAUCUCAGAGAGAAUUGCAAAUUGUUACCUCAAAUGUGUAGGAAGAUGCUAGAGGAAGAUAAUGAUGACAAAUGAGGAAGAAAACAAGUCCAAAUUCACCCUCAAAUUUGAAAAAUUCAGGUGCGGCCCGAAUGCUUUUGUGAUGAUUAAAUUCCCUCAAAAAGAUGUUUUUGAUUUGAAAUUAUUGAGGGUUAAUGCUCACAAGAGUAUUUGGGAUGUUUUUGUUGAGAAAGAUCAAAGGAUUAAUGGGCAAAAUGGAAGAUUGAUGAAGGUGGGUUAGGGUUCGGUGAGAGAGAAAGAGAGAAGAGCUGGAAAAUGAGGAACCGAGGCCUCGUUUCCUUUCUUAUCGCGAAACGAUCCGAGGUCGUAUCUGUUCUGGAAAGCCUCGGAUCCGACAGGGCUCGGAUCAGUCCCAACAGAAACACAGACGAGCCCUCGGAUGUAUCUGGAUUUUUUUAGAUCCGAGGUCGUAUCAAUGGAUCCGCGGUCGGAUUUGUCUGGCUUUUUAGGAUCCGAGCUCGGAUCUGUGUUUUUCUGCACUAAUUGCAGAAACUGCAAUUUUUUCCAAACUUUUUCUCCCUUUUUCGGCCAAUUCCAAAUUACACAUUGGACAUACCUUUUCUCAAUUCCAACCUACCACGCACAUGUAAUAUACCAUAAACAUAAUAUCCAACCUCUCAGAACACAACAAACACAUCUACAUUGAAAAUCGAGGGGUGAGGUUCUUUGAUCAUUUUUGCAUUUUUACACUAAAAUGGCAUUUUUGGGUAUUAAAUGUACAUCAAAUGAGUCCAUGAGCCUUUAUAACCAUGAUAUCACCAAAACUCAUUUGAAAUGCACAAUGUAUGUAUAUGCAUGGGAAUUUUAAGCAUUUAAAACACAAUUUGGUAAGAAAAGCUCCCUUUUACACAUAUUCUUCAAGUGCACCACCAAGAUGGAAGAUAAAACUCCCGUACCUCCUACAAACAAGUGAAAUAUAUCUAAUUAGUCAAUUAAAUCACACCAAAAUGUAAGAAACACAUAAAAACACACAAAUACACUAUUAUUAUUGGGUUGCCUCCCAACAAGCGCUUUUGUUUAUAGUCGUUGGCUCGACUCUCCUAUAACUUCUUUAAUUCUACAUUGUAUUUCCUAAGGAGUAAAUUACUCCUUUAGGAACUUUUUCUCCGGCCAAAUAGGGUUUCAAUCUUUGUCCAUUUACUUUAAAUGGAGAACCAUUUUCUCCUUUUAUUUCCACUGCUCCAUAAGGAAAUACUUGAGUUACUUCAAAUGGUCCCGACCACAUUGACUUCAAUUUUCCUGGAAAUAACCUCAAGCGUGAGUUGAACAAAAGUACAUUUUGCCCUACCUGAAUUUUUUGGGAAUAAUAUGCUUGUCAUGCCAAUAUUUGAUCUUUUCUUUAUAAAUUUUUGCAUUUUCAUAUGCAUGUAGUCGGUGUUCCUCCAAUUCACUUAGCUCAAGUAAUCGCUUUUCUCCUGCAAAAUUAAAAUCCAUGUUAAUAGAUUUAAUUGCCCAAUAAGCUUUGUGCUCAAUCUCUACAGGUAGGUGACAAGCUUUCGCAUAGACUAAACGAUACGGCGACAUCCCUAGGGGUGUCUUAAAUGCCGUUCGGUAAGCCCAUAGUGUAUCAUCUAGCUUUGUAGCCCAAUCGUUGCGUGAUUUAUUCACAGUUUUCUCCAGAAUAAGCUUUAUCUCUCUAUUAGCUAGCUCUGCUUGUCCAUUGGCUUGAGGAUGAUAUGGAAGUGAUGUCUUGUGCCUACAACCAUAUUUAAACAAUAAGGAAUCUAAUUGUUUGUUACAAAAAUGUUUUCCUUCAUCACUUACUAUGGCCUUGGGUAUACCAAAUCUACUGAAAAUAUUCUUUUUAAGAAAUCUAAGUACAAUCUUAGAGUCAUUAGUAGGUGAAGCGAUUGCUUCUACCCAUUUAGAAACAUAAUCCACUGCUACUAAGAUGUACUUAUUAUUAAAAGAACUAGGAAAUGGUCCCAUAAAAUCAAUACCCCAUACAUCAAAUAACUCAACUUCCAAGAAUGUAGUCAGGGGCAUUUCAUUUUUUCGAGAUAUAUUUCCAGUUCUUUGGCAUGCAUCACAAUUUUUAACAUAUUCCCUAGCAUCUCGGUACAUAGUUGGCCAAUAAAAUCCUGAUUGCCAUACCUUUGCCACAGUUUUUGAAGUACUGAAAUGACCACCUGUUUCAAGGUUAUGACAAUGAUAUAAAAUAUUAUGUACCUCAUCUUCAGGAAUACAUCUACGUAUCAUACCAUCGGCACAAUGUCUAUAUAGCAAUGGUUCCUCCCAAAAGUAACAUUUGAUAUCAUGUAAGAAUUUCUUCUUUUGAUGAUAAUUGAACCCCUUUUGAAUCUCUCCACUGACCAAGUAGUUAGCAAAAUCUGCAUACCAUGGAGAAUUUCUAAGUGCUAGGACAAACUCAUCCGGAAAAUUCUCUUGAAUUGGAACCUGAUCUUUGAUUGGGAUAUAUUCCAAACGUGAUAAAUGAUCUGCAACUAGAUUCUCCGAUCCCUUUUUGUCUUUUAUCUCCACAUCAAAUUCCUGCAAUAAAAGAAUCCACCGAAUUAGCCUAGGUUUUGCAUCCUUCUUAUGUAGCAAAUAUUUAAGACUUGAAUGGUCAGUAUAUAUAAUAACUUUAGAUCCUACUAAAUAGGAUCUAAAUUUAUCCAAAGCAAAUAUCACUGCCAAUAGCUCUUUUUCUGUCGUUGCAUAAUUGAGUUGUGCCUCAUUUAGCAACUUGCUAGCAUAGUAAAUGACGUGCAAUCGUCCUUCUUUCUUUUGUCCCAAAACUGCUCCAACCGCAUAAUCACUUGCAUCACACAUCAAUUCAAAUGGUAGUGACCAAUCGGGUGAAGUUAUAAUUGGGGCCGAAAUCAAUUCCUUCUUCAACCUUUCAAAUGCAACCAAACAGUUGUCAUUAAAUUGAAAAGGAGUAUCUUUACAUAAUAAAUCACAUAAUGGCUUUACUAUUUUAGAAAAAUCUUUAAUAAAACGUCUAUAAAAGCCAGCAUGUCCUAAAAAACUCCUUAUUCCCUUGACAUUGCUUGGAGGUGGCAAUUUUUUGAUAACUUCUAUUUUGGUUUUAUCCACCUCAAUUUCCUUGGAGGAAAUCUUGUGCCCUAAGACAAUUCCUUCUUUUACCAUAAAAUGGCAUUUCUCCCAAUUCAGUACAAGAUUUGUUUCUUCGCAUCUCUGCAAAAUCAAUUCCAAAUUAUGAAGACAAUGGUCAAAAGAUGAACCAUACACAGAAAAAUCAUCCAUAAAUAUCUCCAUAAUUUUCUCAAUAUAAUCUGAAAAUAUAGCCAUCAUGCAACGUUGAAAAGUUGCAGGUGCAUUACAUAAACCAAAUGGCAUUCUUCUAAAGGCAAAAGUGCCAUAAGGACAUGUAAAUGUGGUCUUCUCUUGAUCCUCUGGAGCUAUAGCUAUUUGAUUAUAUCCUGAAAAAUCAUCAAGAAAACAGUAAAAUUCAUAUCCGGCUAUUCGCUCCAAUAAUUGAUCAAGAAAUGGUAGGAAAAAAUGAUCUUUUCUUGUUACCGUAUUUAACUUACGAUAAUCAAUACACACUCUCCACCCUACCACAAGUCUAGAUGAAAUUAAUUCAUCAUUUUUACCCACGAUUGUAGUCAUUCUACCUUUCUUUGGUACCACAUGAAUUGGACUAAUCCAAACACUAUCGGAGAUAGGAAAGACUAUACCUGCAUCAAGCCACUUAAGAAUUUCAUUUCUUACCACCUCUUUCAUAUUUGGAUUGAGUCUUCUUUGUGUUUCCACCACUGGUUUGCAAUUGUCCUCCAAUAAAAUGCGAUGCAUGCAUAUAGAAGGACUUAUACCUUUAAUGUCAGCAAUUGUCCAUCCCAUUGCCUUCUUAUACUUCCUUAGAACUCUUAGCAACUUUGUACACUGCUCAUCAUCAAGGUCAGCACUAACAAUUACAGGUAAAGUACUAUUUUCUCCAAGAAAUUCAUACCUUAGAUGAGUUGGAAGUGGUUUGAGCUCUAGUUUUGGAGGUUCAAUUUCUGAAGGUGAUGAAAGCCCUUUUUCUUGGCCAAGACUUUCAUACAAAUUACCCCUUUUAUAAGGUGCUUGAAAAUCCAAAUAUUUGGCCAAUUCUUCAAUCUCCGCACAAUCCCCUUCUUGCACUCCUAAACUCAUUAAACAAUAUUCAAGAGGAUCAAAGUCAAAAUUGACUUGGCUCAUCUCUUGAGUUAGUUUAUCAAUUGUACCAAUAGAAUAUGCAUGAUCGGUAAAAGAAGGGUAUUUUCCCAUUUCAUGCAAAUUAAACUCUACCUCUUCCUCACCUACUUGAAACUUCAGCUUGCCAUUUUUAACAUCAAUAAUAGUACCUGCAGUAGCUAAAAAUGGUCUACCAAGAAUAAUUGGCAUAGAUACAUCUUCUUCCAUGUCUAACACCACAAAAUCCACUGGAAUGAUAAAUUUUUGAACUUUUAUCAAUACAUUUUCUAAAACUCCCAGUGGAUAUCUAAUAGACCUGUCCGCUAGUUGCAAAGUAAUAUUAGUGCUUUUAAGCUCCUUCAAACCCAAUUGUCUAGCCACCGUUAGAGGAAUCAAUGAUGCACUAGCACCAAGAUCACACAAUGCUUUAGAGAAAUCAAUGUUACUUAUGGUGCAAGGUAUAGAGAAACUUCCAGGAUCCUUCAAUUUCGGUGGUAGCUUAUUUUGUAUAAUUGCACUAUACUCCUCAGUUAAUGCUAUUGUUUCGCAGUCUUCCAACUUCCUUUUUCUAGUCAUGAUUUCCUUGAGAAACUUUGCAUAAGAUGGAAUCUGCAAAAUAGCAUCGGCAAAAGGAAUGUUAAUGUGCAAUUGUUUGAAAAGUUUAACAAAUUUUUCAAAAUCCCUAUCAAACUUAUUCUGCUUUAAUCUUUGUGGAAAUGGAACCGCAGGAGGCAUUGGAAUGGUAGCGGAAGAUGAUGAUUGAUUUUCUCUUGGUUUCUCCCGGCUAUUUUCUUCUACUAUCGCCUCUUGGUUCCUCUGCUUUUCUUCUUGUUUUUCAUUCUCAUCUUUCUCAACUUCCAUCACUGGUGGAUCUUCUAAUUGCUUACCACUACGAAGAGUAAUGGCUUUUACAUGCUCCUUAGGAUUGACCUCUGUUUUGCUAGGUAAUUCGCCUUGAUUUCGAUUAUUCAACGAACUAGCAAUUUGACCAAUUUGGACCUCUACAUUCCUGUACAUUGUAGUGAGUUGGUCCAAUCUUCCUUCUACUCGCUCAAAUCUGUCUGAAGUAACUUUUGCGAGUUUUUCCACUGCCAUUUUCCAACCAGGUUUAGUUUCAACUUGUUGUUGCCUUGAUUGAAAUCCCGGUGGAUUGGCUGGCCUUUGUUGAUUUCCUUGAUCCUUCCAUCCAAAGUUUGGAUGAUUUCUCCACCCCGGAUUGUAAGUAUUCGAGUAGGGGUUAUUUUGAGCAUUACGAUUGUAAUUAUUAACGAAUUGUACCUGCUCAGAAUCAACACACUCAUUAGUAUCAUGUUCACCUCCACAUAUAGAACAACAUGCUACAUGUGCAUUAGAUGAACUUGAACUAACUCCACUUUGUCUACUUAGCAACUUCAUCACAUUAUUCAUUUGAGCACUCAGCAUAUUGAGAGUGUCCAUUUCUAUCAUACCUGCGUGACGUCUUGUAUUACCUCUCUCAUUGGCCCAUUGGUAGUUGUUUGCGGCCAUUUCUUCUAUCAAAUUCUGAGCUUUUUGGGAUGAUUUACCCAUUAAAGCUCCACCUGCAGCUGCAUCAAUCAUAGUUUUAGUAGAAAAAACUAAACCAUUAUAGAAGAUUUGUAUGAUUAACCACUCCAGCAGUCCAUGAUGCGGACAUUUUCGAAGCAAAUCUCUAAACCUUUCCCAUGUCUCAUAUAAUGAUUCACUUUCUAAUUGGUUAAAACUAGUGAUAUCCAUCCUAAGCUUAGCAGUCUUACCUGGUGGAAAAUACUUAUUUAAGAAUGCUCUUGAUAACUCAUCCCAUCCAGUGAAAGUAUUAGGAGCAUGAGAGUGUAGCCAAAGUUUGGCCUUAUCUCUCAAUGAAAAUGGGAACAAUCUUAGCCUUAUAGCUUCAUCACUAACUCCAUUCAUUUUAAUUGUAUCACAAAUUUCCAAGAAGGUAGCUAAGUAUGUAUUAGGAUCUUCUACUGCAUUACCUCCAAAUUGAGAUUGUUGAACCAUUUGGAUAAGCGCUGGUUUAAUAUCAAAAUUGUUAGCAUUUACCGUAGGCCUUGCUAUGCUUGUUUGAGAUCCUUGUGUUCCCGGUAAAGCAAAAUCUCGUAGAACUCGCCUAUGUGAUUCGUUUUCUGCCAUGUCUUCUUCAAAUGGAAGCUCUAUUAAGAUAUCUUCUAUUGGCUGCCAAACCUCUUGUUCCUCUUGAUGUGAUGUACUUCUCCUUUGUCUGUGUAAUGUUCUUUCAAUUUCAGAAUCGAAAUGUGCAACUUCUCGAUUUGAUCGGUGCAUACACUACAAACAAAAACAAGAGAAAUUUUGCAGCUUAAAUUCAACAACUUGAAUAAAUAAAAAAAAUGAAAAUAUCUAAAUUAAUAGAGAUGAUUAGGCCCUAAUAUUGCCGCUCCCCGGCAGCGGCGCCAAAAACUUGACGGGACUUUUAUAUCAAUGCAAGCUCAAUUCCGAUUUUACACCCGUUGGACUGCAAGUAUACAGGUCGCAAUUGUAGUACAAGAUGUGUAUCGGGUCGAUCCCACGAGGAGCAAUUUAAACAAUUACUAAGCUCUUGUUUUCUCUAUUAUUUAGACUUACAAUUAAAUUGAGCAGAGAAAGUCUAAUGCUGUAAUCUACAAAUCUGAUAUACAAAUCUAGUUUAACAAAUGAUUAAUGCAAAUAGAGAAAUUUCACUUAAGGAAGAUUCUAGGGAUGUAGAUUCUACUUAUGGCAUAAACAAUACAAAUGAAUGGAUUUACUGCUUGCUAUUAUUCUUAUUUAACCAGAGAUUCAUUUCCAAAUUUACCAAAUCUCAUUUUCAUGAUGAAAUGGCCUAGAGCAAUAUAGAUUUCCCUAUUUUCAUGGUGAAAUAUUACUACUACUCCAUUUUACUUCAUGAAAUGCUAAAUAAUCCACCUAAGUGUAUUUCUAUUUUCAUGAACAUACAACUUAAGCUCUACUCAUGUGUUUCCAUUGUUAUUACCAAUUCUCAUUGAACAAUAACAACUAUAAACAAGCUAUUGGUGAUCAAUCAACAACACGUAAUCAUAGCUACACAAGUAGACAAGUUACUACAAGACAUAACAAGUGUAAAUCAUAUUCAAUUCAUAUUAUUUAGCCAUAAGUUUCAUCUACUCCCUAGAUUAAGGGGUUUAGCUACUCAUGAAUGAUUUAACAAUCAAACUCACAAGUUUAUUAAUGCCAAACAUCAUGAAGUACAAGUACAAGAAAGAUAAAAGAAAGCUUAGCCAAUUGAAGGUGAAGCUCUCCAACUCCUGCUAUGCUCUUGCACAAUAUGAUUACAAGUGAAAAACUCCAAGUACUUCUCCAAGAACUCCUAUCUAGAGAGAAACUAGAUACCAGAAAGAAAACUAGCUACGUAUGGUCUUCUUUUGCUUCUCCCCUGUGUUUCUGCAUAAAAGGUGGUAGAAAGUCUACCACCUCCCACUUCAUAAUUUCUUCCACUCAAAUUUUGUAAACAGAAGUCAAAGAUAUGAUAUUUCCUUUUGUCCAUACUCAUUUGGUCUUCUCUUUUGUUGCAGAAGCAUGUGCCACCGAUUUCUGUCCCUCAAAAUAGCUGGAAAGUUGUGAAAAAGGUAAAGAAAAACGGCUGUGGCACUUGCUGAGGAGAGAGACAGAUCCGAGUCUCGGAUCCGAGAGUUGAAAAAGGAUCCGAGCUCGGAUCUUCAGGAUCCGAGGGAUUUCAUAAUGGAUCCGGGGUCGGAUCGUCCUGACCUCGGAUGCUCUCCGCCAGAAGUACAGACGAGGGUUCGGAUCCAUCUUGUACACACGGAUCCGAGCUCGGAUCCGUGUUGACCAAUUUUUCAGUUUUUCACUUCUUCUCUUUUUCUACAUUUUUGCUCCCAAUUUCUUGUGUACUUUGUCCUCUGGAUGACCCUUACAUUUCUUUCAACUUGUGCAUGAAUUUCAUACAUCAAUUACCUUCACAAUUUCACAAAAUUAACGCAUUAAUCCACUCAUUUAUCAAUUUUUGAAACCUUAAUCAAUAUUUAAGCAAUUAUCACCAAAAGAGUUCAAAUAUGGCUUAAUCUUCUCAAAACAUACCAAAAAUUAAUGCCAAAUUCAUACAAAAUGUACGUUAAAUAUUCACUUAUCAGUAAACUACGAUGUGAAAAUGAAAUGGCAUAUGAACGACAAGUCGUCUCCAUCGGACCUUAUCACCGCGGUAAGCCUAAACUGAAAAAGAUGGAGGAGCAUAAGGUAAGGUACUUGAACAUGCUUCUUCUUAGAAGAAAAGAGUCAAAUGCUAAGAAAUACGUCGAAGCUAUGGCUGAACUUCAAGAAGAAGCUAAAACUGUGAGAACCCUGAAAAUAUAUAUACAAAUAACAUUGCAUAUUUUAUUUGCGUUUCUAAUUCUCUAAUAAAUUUUAGCAUUACUUUCACUUGUUUGUAAAUAAGUGCGUAAAAAACAAUUUUCAUGUGAAAAAUAAUAUAAUUUCUCUAAGUUACGAAAUUCCUUUUGUUUUGCUAAACUAAAUUAAUACCUUUAGAGUUAGAAUAAUUUUAGCACCCCAACAUAAAAUAUUAAAGUACUUAGUUUCCAUUAUGUUAAAUUAAUACUACCUGAGUAGAUUAAUUAUAUAAAAUUUCUUGAAUUCCAAUAAUUAAUCCUGAUUAGUGAAUAACGUUAAAUACUAAUAAGAAUUUUCACGUUAAGACCAAAACCAAUAAAUUUUAUAUGCAAAAUAAAAGAAUUGUGCUAAACUAUUAAAUUUCUAGUUUUGUUUCAUUAAAUUCAUAUUUCGAAGGUAAAUUAUUUCAUUGAUUUAACAAAUAAUUUCUUCGAAUUCCGAUAGCUAAUCUUAAGCGUUAAUAAUGAUUAAGUUAAUAAGUUUUGAUAUAAAUGGAUAAACGAAUAUUAAGAACGUUAAAUUUAUAUAUUAAGGUCAAACUUGAUUUUAAUAGUUUAAAUAAUUAGGUAAUAAUGUUAGGAAUUACUAGGAACCUUAAUAUUCAAGUUUAAUCGAUAAUUAUUCGAUAAAAAUGGUUUAGGUAUAUUAGGGUAUAAUUAGGCGUUUAAAUCACACUUGGGGAUAAUUUUUAGAAUUAAGUUGAGGUUAGGGAGUAAAGUGAAAAGACUAAAAUGCCCUUACAAUUCCAUGCAAACCAAACCAAUCCUCUGACCGCAAAUUCAAUUACCGCAACUAUCACCAAUUCUAUACGCAAUCGAUUCUAAUACACGAAACCUCUGCUCCUAAAACCGCGGCACCUUAUACCAUUACCUCCAUUUCACAUCUUAAACCACGGCACCACAAUACUUCUUAAUAUCACUCAAUCCUUUCUCAUAUCACUUACCGCAAACCAUAUACCUCUCUUUCCAUUUCAUAUCUCAAACCGCCAUUCCAUUUCUCUGAACCAAUUCACCUCAGACCGCAACACCAUUUCAUUUCCUCUCAACCUCGUAACCAUCGACGAAGAGUGAGAGAGGAACCGAGAAACUACAACAUUCUGCUCCUGUCCGUAAGCUUGAGGGAAGAAAAGGAGAAGUCAUGCGUGAGUUCAUUCUUCAACCUCCAUUCCAAUCAGCUGCAAUCCACCUCCAACAGCAACCUUUCAGCUAUCACCGUCACGAGUAAAAACCAGAACCAAUUUCCAGGCCGCGAGCUAGUCGAAAAAAAAAAAUUUUGACAGAUCGUUUGUCGCGUGCGCUGAGUGUUUCACCGAGGUAAUUCCUGAACUGGAAUGAGUUGUUAAAGGGUAGAUUAAGUCAGUAAUUGCCAUGCAUGUGAAGCUUAGGCGACAGGAUGAUGAUUUUGGAAAAGAAAAUCUGUUAUGCGAAAGAAUAAUUUCUGCCGAGAACUUGUCUUGAAAAUUGCAGUUUUAUUUGGUUUAAUUUUGUUGCUCUAAACUUAUAGCUAUGUUUAACUAAGUGGAAAUGAGAUGAUUAAGUCAUGCAUGUCUCGGUUGUGUGUUCGGAUGAUGAACUUAGAAGCUUGAGAAAAUCUGUUUUGGGGAAAUUGGAAUUGCCGAGAGCUGGAGAGUGGAAAUGCAGUUCAAUCUAAUUAAAUGUGAUAAUCUGAGUUGAUAGUUACGAUUAACUAGCUAAUAACAGGAUAAUUAGGUUUUGCAAGAGGUUAACUAGCUCGGCUAACCAAGAAAAUGAAAUGAAAACAGAAAUUUGCUUCAUGCAUGUUCGUCCAAGCCAAGCAGGAAUAAUUUCUGGGAAAUUUUGAUAUCAAUGGUUGCUAUUCGAACCUUAUUUGGUACUAGAAACAUUGAUUGGCUAGCUAAGUGUCUGCAUAAUGCAUUUGAGUACUUAAAUCAAUAUUUUAGCCGAGGAAAUAUUGGUUUUAUGAACACUGAAGUGCUGGAAAAAUUUUGACGUCCAAGAAGGUUGAGCUGGAAUUUUCAAUUGGUUUCUGGAAUUUUUUUCUUGGAAUAUAAUGGUCUAGAAAUGCAUGGAAAAUAUGUGUUUUAUGCGCUGUAAGUUGUUCAGCUACGAAGCAUUUAAUUUAUUGGCAAAGAUUGGCCAAAAAUGUUGACCUAUAGCUGCUGGAAACUCUAUUUAGUCAAUGACAGAUUUAUUGUGGUGGAAUUAUUCGCCAAAAUUACAGGUUAUUUGUUUUAUUUCAUGUUGGAAAAUUUUAAUGGUGGGCUCUAUGAACUCCCACCCUUGGAUUGAUGGCUGAUAAAAUGAUUGAUGAUGGAUAUAAUGCUAGUUUAGUGUCUAAAUAAAUAGAUUAAUGAUACCUAGCUACUCUAGACUUCAAGGGAUGCAUAGUUCAAAAAUGUUCAGUUUUGCCCUGUUUUAAUCACACCCAUUUUUGUAGAAUUUUGAGGGUUUCAUGACUCGUAUAUUAUGUUUAUAUGUUGAAUAUGUGGUGUACAAAGUUUCAUUGAAAAAUAUUGAGAUUUGGUUGGUCAAAUAAAAUGAUUUCACAAAGCUAGUAAAUCUGGAACUGUUUCCGUAAUACUCUGACCCGCUUUCGUAUUUCGGCUAUAAUUCUGUGCUCCGAUGUCGAAAUUAAGUGCCGUCAGCGGCAUUUGAAACUAGACAUUCCAACCUUUCCGACGGUAUAAAAUGUACAUUCUGGUUCCAUGUGUGUGAGCCGAACCAACCAUUUUAAAUCGGCUGUCCUGUUUCUCUGUUUUACAAGAACAAAAUGAUGAGGCUGCAACUUGUGGCUCGAAUUCGAGCUAGUUGUGUGCCGAAUUUCAAAGUGAUUUCUUCUGUGAAAUUAUAGCUCUAUGAAUUUUUUUUCCAACGCCAUAAACCAUGCCAAAUUCCUAGUUAAUUUGAGUGAUCUAUGAUCAAAAUAGGAAACCUGCUCUGUCCUUGAAAACCCUGAUUUUUAGACAGAUUUGAUGCAAGGCUCGGUAUAGACUUGCAAAUUAAAACUCUUGGUGUUAAUCACCACAAAUGUUGUUCUGGGAUGACCCUUAAAUCUUUUCUAUGCAAAUGAAUCAUGUUUAGAGGAUUUUCCUUGGUCAAAAGUUUAGAAAAGGAAAUUUUCACAUACAAGGCAGCUUUGCCUUAAAAUUUUGGAAACUUGGGUGAUUUUGUUAAGUGACUUCCCUUGCAUAUUUUCCUAUGAAAUUUGGUAGAGGGACAACCCUUAUAUAGUAGUAUUAUACUGCUAAUUUUGGUGUUAUUCCGAGACCGUUUCAUGGGUCAAAUAAAUUACCAAAGUUCAUGACUCGAGCUUGAAAAACCCAUGUUUCACAAGGGAAUCUUGGUAACCUUGAGUUGCCAUAUCUUAAUAUUCAAAACUCCGCUUCUCGUUCCGUUUGUUCUGUUAUACUCUUGGAUUGCGACUCUAAAAGAGUACCAAAUUUCAAAAGCUAGUUCCAAACAAGUGAAUUUUGCCGAACUUCCAAAGUUGGCCAAAAACCAACUUAAAUCUGUUUUGGUAAUUCAAGUUACCAACUUUGAGUCGAAAAUUUGAGUGCCUUUCACUUACACUCGUGGAAAAGUGUCUUCUAGGAACUUUUAGUACUCUGAAGUAGUUUCUAAUGGUACCAAGUUUUUCAAUUUUGGACCUACUGAAUGCAAGACCUAAUUUUUCUAAGUUUGACGUGCAAAGCUGAAAUUUGCCGAUUUCUUAGAAAAUGAAAUUUUGAAAACCCGUUAUUCCUUCUUGAUGAUAAUUGGUCAUUUUAAACUUGAUUCCAUGAAGGAAAUUAUUUUUUUCCUUGUGUUAAUAAAACCUCACUUUUGAACCUUUAUUUUUAGUGGCUAAGGUUCUUGAUUUGAGGUAGUGACAAGUCUAGAUGAGUGUAACUUCUUCCUUGAUUAAUGCGUGAUUAUGAGUGAAAAAUACUUGUCAAUUGCUUCAGGUGCUCAAGCUAGUCUUGAAGAGAAUCCCGGAGAGGACAACUAACGAUUCUCUCGCUCAAUUACUCUUGAAUUGUGAGUGUCAAGUGCAUGACUUGUCGUGUUUACUUGAUUUACCUGCUUAUAUACGUGAAUAUCACUUGAUGGGACGAGUGUGUACUUUAUCGCACUCGCUCUCCUUUACUUGAACUUUACUUGUAUUAACUUGGUUUUCGAAGUCGAUUUGAGUGAACCUCGUCGGCUAAAAUAUACCCGUUUUCGUGUAUAUGUCGUGUUGUCGUGCGUGUUGUGUUUGCCGUGCGUGACGUGUUGUCGGGUGGAGUGAAACUCCUCGACUUAUGGGGACGCCCAAAUUCUCUUAGCCAAUCUUGCAACUCGAGCCGGCAUGGGUUUGGUCGAGAAGCUUGAUAAGCCAAGGGAACAACAAAACAUAACUUGAUCUUUUGAGAUCUUGUUCGGCAUACUCGUGGAGUAUCGCCCUUUUCGUGCGUGUUCAAAAAUCAAAACUUGAUCUCUUGAGGUCUCGUUCGGCAUACUCAACGAGUAUCGCCCUUUUCGUGCGUGUUUGGUUACGGAUCCGAGAGGGUGGAACGUUGGCCGGAGGAAGUAAUAAGUGAAGUUUCUACGGAUAUAAUACCCACCCGGAUGACGGAGGGUCAUUGUGAGGGGGUAUCGGAUCGAGCCGUGGCGAAGCAAGUGGAAAAUAGCUCCUGAGAGCUCCUAUAUCCUUGAAUUGUUUCUGUUUACUUGCCUCGCUUGAAUUGUAAAUUACUUGAACCUUAUUGUUCUACUUGAACAACGUUCGUGCAUGUGUGUUUUCUUGGCCUCACGAGCGAUUGGCUCACCGUGUAUAUUUGUUUUCCUUGACAGGUUCUGGAAAUUGAGAGCUUUACAAUUUACUUAGAUUUUCUUAUGGAUGUAAAUGAAAUCUAUGACUUCGCUUUGUGGUUUGUAAUGUCUAAUGUUACUUAUGCCAUGUAUCGGAUUGGAGAUAUGUUAAGCUAGGUGUACUUAAGACUUUGGAUUGCCACUUGAAGCUGGAAAGGUGCAAUCCCUGAUUCAUACAUUCGGUUUGUAUGUACGUAUUGGUGUUGUAUGAACUUGUAUGUUUGGGAUGGUGUGACUUUAGACUUGGUUUGUAAUCGAGAAGGUAUUUUGAGAAUCGACGAUUGGUUAUCUUUUAGUACUGCUAUCUCCGAAGUUAAUGUGGUUUAGUAAUCGAUCUAUUUAGGAAGAAAUGAGGGUGUAAUAGUCUAGAUUAUACUUCGGAGGGUUGUGGCUAGAUUUCUUGCGUGAGUCCUGGCGAGAGCUGGGCAGGCGUUCCGCGGAUACCCCUUGGUUCGCCUUGGGGAGAAGUGGGGCCGUCACAAAAACUUCUUACGCAGACGAAAUCAAUCUUUCAGAUGGUGAUUUUGUUGAAAUGCUAUGCCUUGAUGGCUGCUUUGUCAUUGAGUUCUUGAGGAAACUUUGUCAGCCUAAAUUAUACAGCGAGAAUGAUCCCAUUUUUCAGAUGUCUUGGCUAAUAUCAGCCACUAAGAGAGACCUAAUAUUAUUUGAGAAUCAGUUGCCCUUUGUUGUCCUGCAAAAACUGUUUGAUAUGACCAAGUUGCGGGGCGAAGAAGAGAACCUUAAUGACCUAGCUAUUCGCCAUCUGUCUUCGCUCGUGCCUGGUUCUUAUCCAGGUCAAAGUUCUCAUUCUACAAUCCCUGCAGGUUAUAAGGCUGUUCAUCUUCUUGACCUCAUGCACAAAAAUUUCACUGCCUCAUUUUCCAACACAUUUAGGGAUCUCAAACAUGAACCGACUAAAACCUUAUUGCAGAAACCAGUUAUUGAGCUAGUACAUAUUGGAACCAAGUUCAAGAGGGCAAUAAACAGUGAAUCCUUGCUCCAUAUCACUUUCAAAAAUGGUGUAGUUAAAAUCCCUCCUUUGUUUGUGGAUGAUCAUACAGAAUCCAUCUUCAGAAACUUGAUUGCAUACGAACAGUAUAUGUCUAAGCCAUUUGAGACACGGAGGUAUGUAACUGAUUACAUAAGCUUCAUGGAUCUUCUCAUAGAUUCCCCGUCCGACGUUGAAAAGCUUCGCAACAGUGACAUCAUCAGGCAUGGGUUAGGCAAUGAUAAAGCAGUCUCUGUAGUGUUCAACAAGUUAAGCAGUGGUGUUUCUAAUGAAGUUCCUUUCUGUUACGACGAAAUUUUUGUGGAAAUGGAGAAGUACUACCGCUACCGCAUCCUUAGGGCAUACCUCAUGCAGAAAUAUUUUCAUACCCCGUGGUCAAUCAUUUCACGUCUGGCUGCAAUCGUUAUGAAAAUUAAAGUGAGCUAGUUGUGCUUGUUUGUAAUUUGUUAGUCAUUGUACUUAAAUACCAACAACGUCAUUUUAUUUGUGUUCCGAUUGAUAAAAAAUUCUUGAUGUAAAAGAACUUUCCUGUCUUGGAUAUUACAUGAACUCCUAAAUGCAUGUUCUGCUAAUAAUGAACAUGAUCUCUUCUGUAUUAUGAUCUACUACUGAACAUUAAAAUAGCAAUGCCCCGUCAACCUGACAAUUUUUAUGAACAUGGAUAUCUGUCUACACAUGUAUCUAUAUGUCUGUGUCAAGUAUAACCACAGUACGAGGCUAACUUUGAGUGUUACAUGGCACCGGUCCGAUCUUAGUGAGAGUACUACUAAAUGCAUGCAAAGGCUGACGAUGAGAACUCAAUGAAGCACGAAAAUUAAGUACACAAGAUUUUAAGCAAACUGCAAAGAAAGAAUUAAAAAAAUGAAGCUUUAGCAUUCAUCUGUCAAAAAAUCCUUGGCAUACUAUCAUAUAUAAUAGCAGUUAGAUACCAGUUGAUUGAAAUGCUAACAAAAUAAGUGUACUGAAAACAUAUAGUUCUACAGGAUCUAAUUGUUAUUCCUGUGAUUUAAAGAAGAGAACAGAGAAAAGGCCCGGUUGAUUUUCAAACAAAGAAAACUCGGAAGAACACUUUAUUGGGAAAAUAGUUAUAAACAUGAAUUGCUUGUUACUUAUGGUUCCCGAAAUCUUAUCUAAUUAGCCACUGCAUCCACAUUGGCUAGAAUGCUAAGUAAGGCAUAAAGACUGAAAGAAAAAAGGAAAAAAAAAAAAAGAAGCAGUACAAUAAGCAAAUCUGUCAUGCUUGCUGGUACCAAAAUUAAGUACAUAUGUAAAUUUUAAGUAGUUCUUGGUUGUAAAUGUGAAGGCUUUAUCUAAGAAAUGUUGUCUCCAACGUUCCGACCUUUUUCUCAUGUUUGUCACUUCGCGAAGCACAGCAUUUGCUAAGGAAUGAAGGGCUGAGACAUGUCUACUUUUUUAAAGCAAUAGAGGGCUUAAACAUUGGUUGUUCUCUUCUCUUCUCUUCUUCUCUUUAUUACGCUCAGUCGCUCACUAUUUUCCCUCCACAAAGGAAAAAUUGCUAGCCAUCUAAAGUUUAGUGGAAAAGAACAGCUAUGAACUCAUAUCUCAAAAUUCUAGAAAAUUAAAAUGUUUAAGAAUUUGUAGAUCCUAUCUAAAUGAACAUCUUGAAGUACAGAUUAUCUUCUGCUGAGUACAUUAAAAAGUUCAAAGUAACUUUCUAUAGGUUUUUAUACAUUGGACUAUUGGAGAAAAGAACAAAGGGGCUAAAUUAUUAAUUAAGUUAUUUUUCAACUAUUUAAAUUGGUAUACCAAAAAAAAAAAAAGAAAUUAUUCUUCAUCGACUAUAAGACAAAAGCAAAGGUGUCAAUAAACCACUCUUUAAUUUUCUUUUUGUAAUUUUUGCUAUCUUUUCCUAUAUAAAGUUAGACGUAUGCCACUAGACUAAUAUAUCCAAAAGGUGACAACAUGGCUGGUAUAAUGUGGUCUUACAAAAAUAAAAAUAAUAAUAAUAAUAGUAUAAAUUGGACUACCUACGAGCUUCCCAUCCCAAAGGACUAAUAGCUUGAUACAACUUCCACGUGCUUUCUCCAGCUUUUUGUCUCUAUUUCUGAUCAAGAUUGCUACACGUUAGACUCUCCUCUUGCCCAGGUAAAUUUUUCAAGUAUUUCCCUGUUGUGAAAUAUAUUGGAAAUCUUAGUAGCGAGCUAGUUGAAAAAAAUUUCUUCUUUGAAUUGAGUCAUAUUAGUUCAUAUUGUCCUAUAACUGAAUUUUAUAUCUAACUUGGUAUAUAACCAUUCCACCAUUCCAUACUACUAAAAGUUGUACUGAGUGAGAGUGUUGUUGAUAUAUUCUUUCUUCUGUAUGCAUCCAAGAUUCCUACUGCCAAUAAACCCCUUAGGUCUUUUUGAAGCAUUUCAUCUAUUUCUCAGAAAAUAUGUCUGAUACUUUUUGUUUAGUAGCCUUUGCUUGUCUUUGAUUCCGUUUACUUUUCCUCUUUUAUCUUCUAGGAUAAUUGCAUAUAUGUGGCUAAACUUGUACAAUUUCUAACUAGAUCAAUUGAAUGAGAUUGGAAGACAAAUGCCUGAACAAGACAAUAGAAUAGCCAAGAUUAUGUAUCCCUCCCAGCAAUACGGGCUGGUGACAUUGAUUUGUUUUCAGCCCUUACCUAACUUUCCAUGAUGACUAGCUUCAAACGACAAAAACUUUUAAAAGUCAGAAUCAGCACUCGGAAAUCAGUAUAAACCUGGUUCAAGCAGUUGCUAAUCAACUUAAUUAGACUGAUUUUGUUAAUCUUUCCGUGCAGCAUUUUAUUCUCCAAAGAGGGUGCCCGGAGAAAUGCUAAAAUUUAUUUCUACUGGUCUCGAUCGAAAGCUUUCUCAGAUAUCAGAAACAUCAAAUGAGCAAUGUAUAUUCAGAGUCCAUGACGGGCUACGGAGGCACAACCCUCAGGCAUACGAACCAGAAAUUGUUGCUAUUGGACCUUAUCAUCAUGCUAAAAGUAAAUUACCAAAAAUGGAAAAGCAUAAGCUGAGGUAUUUGCAAGGGCUUCUUCUUCAAAGAGGCGAGUCAAGUGUGGAAUGAUACAUUGUAGCCUCGUCACAGCUUGAAGAGCGCACUCGAAGGUGUUAUGCAGAAAAAAUCAGUCCAAGUAAUGACGAAUUUGUGGAAAUGAUGUGCCUAGAUGGCUGCUUCCUCAUCGAUACUUUUAAGGAAAUCCUACCAGUGUGAAUUGCGGAAUGAUGAGGAUUCCAUCUUCCAGUUGGAAUGGCUUAAACUAUGCACAGAGAACUAUUAUCGUUUGAAAAUCAGUACGCAGAGAACUUUUAUUAUUAAUGAAUGGAUAAUAAAUCCUUGUAGAGGGUUUAUUUACUGGCUAUUCACAAUGUCCAUUGUGUCAUUGCUGAGUUAUCAACGCAUGUUGCAGGUUAAAAUAAAAACAAAGCAUCGGUUAGUUAAGAAAGAACUAGAUCCUAUCACGUAUUAAGAUGUUUAUUUUUCCUGUUGUGUUUCAGCACCAUUGAAUCUUGGAAGUGAUCUAGAAGUGGAAAAAAGGAGGGCUGACUGAGUACCUUGCCACCUACUGUGGCCUGGGGAAUUUGUAGCUGCAGGUCAACUGGAUUUGUUCAAAGCUCGGGUCACUAAGUUUUUUCUUGUAAAACGUUCACAUGAACAUUGGUGACGUGUUGUACAGAUGUUUCCUUUUGUAUCCAUGAUUUACUACCUGGGCAACUGAUAUUUUUGGGACCAUUUUCCAUUUGAGAUAUGAUUUUCGUUUUUGUUGAGCAAUAUUUUAUAUUUUGGCUUAUAUUUGCUUCUGUAUGUAUUAAAUUGUUCCAGAUUUUUUAUCCAACUGAGGCCGAUAACAUUUAAAGCAGGGAUUUGAGUCACUCUAGAGUCUAGGCUUGAUUAGGGUGGUUGUAUGUACCAAUGGUUCUAAUUCUGUACCAUGAGUAAGGUUUUUUAUUCUGGAGCUAAAAUCUUGGUUUAUAUUCCAAUAUAGGAUUCUCUGCAUUUAGGUUCUUCUCCCUUUUCAAAGGAACAACAUAAUGACAUGAUACCAUACCAAUAAAGAAUAGUGUUCAGCUAGGUUUUCGUUUGAUUUUUAACUCUUCUUUCCCAGCCAAUUCAUUAGUAUCAUUAAUAAUUCCAUUUAAGAAUUCAUGGUGUAAUAUGAAUAAAUAUUUUAUAGAAAUGAUAAUAUGAUUAUAAUGGAUAGAAACUAAAAUUAACUUGUAAUGAAAUGAAUGUUUUGAGAGUAGAAAAAUAUUUGCAACAUAUCAACAAACAUAUCAGAAAAUAUUUUUAUUGACAAACUAAACACUGGAAAAUUAUGAAAAAGGGAAUUUGGAAAAUAUUUUCACUUAAUAACCAAACACUGGAAAAUUGUGGGGAAGGAAGUGAUUUUUCAGGAAAAUAACUUCGAUGAAAAAUAUUUUCCCUUCAGUCCAACCAAACAGACCCUAAAAAUGACUUGAAAGAAUACACAACGAUAUGUAACAGAAAAUUUUUCUACCUUUAUUAAGAUUGGAUAAUAUGAUGUCUAAAUUUAUAUAUUUAUACUUUCCGAUUUCUUAAUAUUUUAUAAUUAGAAAAUCCAAUUCAAAUCAACUUUGACUCCUACGAAGUCAUUAGUAUAAUUUUUACAUUCCAAAUUACACCCCACAACCGUUAAAGACAAAAUGGAGAUUUGAAGGAUGCUUCCAUCCAAUAAUUAUAUAAAAGUCGGGUUCGAGAUUUCCCAUUUACAAUAUAUAUAUAAAAUUCUGAUUAGACUAACAGAUUAACCACAGCCUUCUCCUCUCAAUGAAGGUUCAUAAACUAUAUUUGUAGUGUGUUUUAUGCGAAAUAUUCAUCUUUACGGACCUAUGCCCCAAAAUUUGUUUCAAUCCAAACUGACACCAUAAUAACUAUAAUUUAAAUAGGAGUCAAAAAGCCAUUAAGCCAAGAAUAAUGUUCUCUAUUGUGUAGAAAAGAUUUUAUAAACCACCAUUAAUUUGUAAAUGAGUGGUUUUAGACAUUAAACUCAAACAGAAUAUAUUGAUCAUUUUUUAAUGAUCUUAUUGCUAUAAAUGGAUCAAUUCUGCUUGCUUGCGAUGACCAAAAUCGAUUUGAAUUCAAAUAGCUCGAUUCGAUUAUCAAGCCGAGCUCAAAAGUGAAAAUACAAGACUCGGAGUCUCCUCAACCUAAUUGAACCUCAUAUGCAAAUGCAAAGAAUUUUGAGUGUAGAAUGUCCACUUUUUUCUUAGACUAGUAUAAAUUAAAGCCAUUAUUUGAUGUUUCGAAUUCGAAUUUUAUGAUAGUAAUGUCAAUAUGAGUUAGGUACUCUAUAGAUUUUGGUUAUGUUAUGUGCUCUAUGGAGUUUGAUGUCAAAUUCUACUUAUCUUAAUCAUUACUACAAAGUAUUUAUGUCAUUAUUAGAAACUGUUUGAAUCUCCAAUGCAGCCUCCAAAAUUGAUUGUUUUAAAAACACUCUACCUCUGUGCAACUAAUAAAGAAUACGUUUUGCAAAAAUUAUUUUGAUGACACAAAAUGCAAGAAAAUUUUGGAUAGAAAAAAGAAAUAAUAUAUCAUUAAAAAAAUUAGGAUAAUAUAAAAAAAAUUAGCUAACCGGUGAAGUUAAGCGGUUUGUAAUUGUGAAAUGUUUGGAUAAUAAGAUAACCAUUUGUGAUAACUUGAGAUGCACAAAGUUGUCAAGCAAGCAUCGCAUAAUAAGGUGGCGUUUGGUUCAUACUUUGGAAUCAGAUUCGAAUUUAGGAUUAUUUAUCCAGGGUUUGGAAUGGAGUCACUCAUUCCAAUACAUCUGUUUGGUUCAGUACCAGGAAUAUAUAUUAUUACUAUAGUUGAUGUUUGGUUCAUUGGCUCAUUCAAAAUGGGAUAUAAGAAAUUUUCACUAAUUAAAUGUAUUAGUAUAAAUGUGUUAGUAAAUUUAGUAUAACUAAUUAAUAAUUUCUAUUAGUAAACAUGUAUAAUUAUUAGUAUAAUUGAUAAUAUCAAUUAUAUCACAUAUACUAAUAUACAUUAUACAAUACAUAUAACUAAUAAUAUCAUUAUUAUAAGUUUCUAACUAAUUAGAUUAAAUAUUAUAUAUAAUUAAAUAUAAUUAUAUAAAUAUUAUAAUAUAAAUAUAAAUAUAAAUAUAUUAAUUAUACUAAUAUAUUAUAUAUUAGAUAUAAUAAUUAUUAUAUAUUAUUAUAAAAAUAAAAAUAAAAAUAUAAUAAAUUAUUAUUAUAUAGACAUAUACUAUAAUUAUAUGCAUAUAUAAUAUACAUUUAUAAAUAUAUAUUUAUAAAUAAUAUUAAUAUAUUAUUAUAUAAUAUUAAUAAAUGUAUAUUAUAUAUUAUAUAAUUAUAAUUAUAUUUAGUUAAAUAUUUAUAAUAUAUAUUUAUAAUAUAUAUUAUAUAUGUGUAUAUAAUAAAUAUAAAUAUAAAUAUAAAUACAUUUAUUAUUAUUAUUAUAUUAUAAUAAUUAUUAUAUAUAUUAUAUAGUUAUACUUAUAUUAUAAUAAAAUAUAUAAUUAUAAUGAAAUAUUAUAAUUAAAAUAUAUUAUAUAUAAUUAUGUAUAUAUGUAUAUAAUUAUAUAUUAAUUUUUUUUAAUGGGUGGCGGGAUAGGCCCCAUUUCUAAACGGAAAUCUGACUUGGGUUUUGUCCAAAACCCUCCAGGUUACCAAGGAAUUGGGGAACUCCAAAUUUUUGGAUAUGAUUUCAAAUUUCAAUUCCAAUAAUAGUAAUCCAAACAACAAUUAUGAGAUUUAUUCUAAUUCUCCGUUCUGAAACCCUCUUACCACAUACCACCUAAGUCUUUCGGUUUAUAUGAUACGGAUGGAUUGUAAUUGCAAGAAUAAAAUGGAUAGUGGAACUACAUCAAGUCUAAAAUUUUGGAACAAACUAAAAUGGAUUAUUUCUUCAAUUUGAUCAGCAAGUGUGAUCAAGUUUUUAGCCCAUCUUCUUAGAUUAUUUAUGCUCAAAAUUACGUCAUAUUCUAAACUGGAUUGUUUUUACUUCUAGAGACUAAAACAUCGAAAUUUUUAGAUUUGUUAGAUAUUAAACAAUAAUGAUUUUUUUCUUCAUAAAAUAUAUAAAUCAUGAGUAGUUAUAUAAUCGAGCUUGCAUAGGGAUUAGAGAAACCAUGGUUCCAAAAUUUAGAAAUGGAAAUUGAAAAGUUGUUUUAGUGCAAGAAGUUAACAGUAUCUUGACUUUUAGUUAAUAUUAUGUUUUACCUCCAUAAAUUCAAAAUUUAAAUUUGAAUGUAACAUAUAUAUGAUUAGAAAGAAGAAUUAUAUUGGAAAAAGAUACUAAAAGAUGUUUUAACUUUUCCAACAAGACAAACAAAUAUUUUGGAACAUUCUAAAAUAAAAAAAUGAUACUUUUAAUGGGACGGAGGAAGUAUUAUUCACUAACUAUUCCAGCGGAUACCAAAUUUCCAUUCUAAGGCAUAUUACAAAGAUUUCAACUUAUGUUUGUUGCAUCAAGCAUGUGACAUAAAACAUAAAAGGCCAAAAAAAAAAAGACUGACAUAAAACCCGCACCAGAAAAUCAAAAGGAAGUUCAAUUUUUAAAAAAUAAAAAAAUAGAACUAAAUAGUAAAUAUGAAAGAAACAACAAUUGGUCAAACAGUAGAUCAGCUUUUCUUUUUAAACUUUGGAGGUAAAAAACAAAAACACUUUUAUUUGUGUUAGCUAUUUAACCCUUAUUAACUAGCAAUGGAAGUGGUAAAUAUAUUAUCACCUUUCUUGAAACAACGAUGCAGUCCUCCACCACCAAUGACAGACUCCUCAUUUCUUUCUUGGUCACCACUCCGUCCUUCCUCUCCCACUCCCACACAUACACACACACACUCUCACACACUCACUCGCUAGCCAGCUAAAGCUCAAAAUCCCUCACUUAAACCCCAAAAUCACUCAAAAUCUUCUGGUUCUACAGAAUACUUGCUCAAAGGGAGUUGAUCUUGCUAUCUUCCUUCACUACUUCACAAAGCCAACCUUUUCGUUUAGCUGCCGCCUGCUAGUGGUAGUGGGUGGUAUGUACAAAUACUCUUCAUUUUCUUUGAGUUUAAAGAUCUGGUUUUUUUAUUCUAAGAACAUUUUGAUGGGCUUUUUUAUCUUUAUCAUCUUUUUUUUCUUUUUUCAAGUAAAUGAGUACGGCUGUUACCAGGCAACCUGCGUAAUUUUAUUUGAGCAUGUUAGAAGGGUUUUUCAAUUUUUGUGUUCCACAAAAAAAAAAAAUCACACUUUAGAGGUUGUUAUUUUAUAUGCGUUUUCUGAUUUUUAUCUACAUUUGUGUGUUUCACAAGUAAAAUUGUUUCAGGUAAAUUAGUGGGUGUGUUGUUAUGCAAACCCUUUGUAAAAGAUUUGAUUUUUUCUGUUGGUAUUUUAACUAGAGUAUGUUCUUUGGUUGUAACAUGAAUGGAAUUUGCAUGAAUCAAUCUUUCUUCCUCAGCUUAUGAUGUCAAUUAUACUAUACAUGAGAUUAUACUGGUUAGUAUUUAGCACUGAGAUGGCCUAGUCCUGCAAAGUUCUUCUAUGCUACUUCUCUGUUUGGCUAACAAACUCUUGAAGUUAUCGUUUAGCUCUUUGCUACUUUUUUCUUUGGCUUAUCGUGAAUCUUUGGCAAUGCUUUUAUGAAUCUCUGUGGGGCAUUAUUGCUUAUAGGAAGAUGCAUUACAGUCAUGGCAUCAUGGGUGUUGGAGUUUUUCAACUAGUUUUAGUCAAAAUUUUAGCAUAAUUCCGGAAAGAGUUUGUUGUAUGUCUUUCAUUUUUAAUGUUCAUAAUUCUGCCUAAUAUGCUGUAUAUAUAAGUAAUAAAUUUUGAUAAAUGCUGUUUAAGUUUUUCAAUGUUUUGUGCAAUAAGAAUUAUGGAUGAAGUUAUUCAUAUCUACAAACCUGAAAAUGGUCCUUAUCCUAAAAAUGUUGUGGCUUUGGGUCCAUUGUACAUUGAUACAUUUCCUGGACAAGAUGAGCUGGUUAAAAGUGUAAAAGUGACGGCUUAUUGUCAUUCUAUAGCUGCGAGUGGAGACAUGGCCUCAAGCAUUCCUCUUCGCGAGGGGAUUCAAACUAUUCGAAGAGAAGCUUUUAAAGCGUAUGGGUGGCCAUUCUGGCCACCCAAUGGAUUUGUUGAGAUGAUGGUAUUGGAUGGCUGUUUUUUUAUGCUGCUGGUGUUGUUCAUUCUUGACCACGAAGAAGUGAAAUAUUCCUUAGAUAGUGAGGCCUAUCUUUUGGAUUUUCAUCAUUUAGUGCAAAACAAAGGAAGAAUAAUCUCGUCCAUUCUGUUGGUAGGAAACCAAAUUCCCUACAAUAUACUAAGAGUGGUUAUGGCUCACAUUUACUUUAGACAUAGGAUACAAGAAGUGAAGGUCAAGAAAUCCUGUGAUUUAUUGGAGAGGACAUUCUAUGCACUAUUAAAGAUAGGAGGUCUCACAAUUGAUCAAACUCCGGAUCUUGGCAUUUCUUCAACAUCAGAUGAAUCUUCAAAUCUUUUGGAGAGUCUACAUAGUUUAAUCCUAGGCUUAGGGCCAAGUAGAGAAAUUGGUCAAGUGUACAAGCCCCUUGAACCUGAUGAUGUUCCUAGUGUCACGGGCUGCCUGUUUUUCCACAAGCCAACACCCCGUGCAGUACUAACGUACGUUCAAGUCUCAAGCUAUGAACGCCUAGUUAGUUCAGCCUUAACACUCGAUGCGCGGUUGAAGUGCGGAAGCGCAAAAGUAGUAUGCAAAGAUAUGUUGGUGUGGCAAAGGAAAGCUUAUAUUACACACAAAACUUCUUUACAAGUUGCAAAAGGUUGCCAAAGGUUGUAACAAGUAAAAGGGCUUGGCCUAUUUAUAGGCAAAAGCCAAAAUACUACAAGUGCCUAGAAUUCUCUACACAACCUUAUCUACAAGGUCAAAACUUAUCCACAUGGUCAAAGCUUAUCUACAAGAUUCAUGCAUCCUUAUCCUCAAGGUGUAUGCUUAUCCAUUAAGGACUUUAGAGAGUUCCACACAGUUCUAAAAUCCUGGUGUGUGGAACCCAGGCAGACAAGGCACGGCCGCAAGCGACUAGACAGGGUUGCGCGCGGGCGUGCUCGCAGAUGAGGCACGGGCGUGCGGGCGUAUGGGCACGGUCGUGCGCGCGGUUGCGUACGGUCCGUGUCAUCCUCCCCCACUCGACUCAAGGCAUCAUCCCUAAUGCCUUAGCCAUCCUCAUAGGCAUGUAUGAGGUCUUGGAAUUGCCACAAUUUUUCAGCUGGCUUCCAACUAAUCUCAGGCUCGGGUAGCCCACGCCAACGCACCUGAAACUCUUUUGAUGGUGCACAAUUCUUGUGUCGGACGAUACGAUCGGCUACGAUCUCUUCCGCAACCUUGUCGUACUCGUCCUUCAUGCCCACAGGUACCCUCAUUGAAAUAUUCCUUGCCGGAUCAUGUGGAUCCUUAUGAAACGGCUUGAGCAAGCUAACAUGAAAGACCGGGUGGAGUUGGGACAAAGCCUCGGGCAACUCCACCUUGUAGGCCAUAUUGCCAAUCUUCUUAAGCACUGUAAACGGCCCUUUAUAUCGUCGCAUAAGACUCUUGUGCACUUCGCGGAUAUGUCCGUGUUGAUAGAGUUUCACCAACACUUGGUCCCCCUCCUUAAACUCUCGAAACGAUCGCUUACAAUCCACCCACUUCUUCAUUCGUUGUUGGGCCUUCUCCAAGUAUAACUUGGCCAUUUUUGCUUAUUCUUGCCAAUACUUGGCAGUAUUGGCAAAAUGGUAGGCAGGAGAACUUGUGCAUUUGUAGCCUCCAAUGAUGUCCUUGGAGGUCGUCGGCUGGAACCCAAGAACAACCUCAAACGGACUCCUCCCAAUGCUUUCAUUUUUCUGAAGAUUGAAGCAAAAUUGUGCAGCAUCCAACAACUUUGCCCAAUCUCGUUGGUACACCGUCACAUAGUGCCGAAGGUAUAUUUCGAGCAUAUAAUUUACUCCAUCCGUAUGUGGGUGCAUGGUUGUGGACAUAUUAAGUCCUGAACCAAGCAAACGGAAUAACUCCUGCCAGAACCUCCCUAUGAAUCGUGAGUCACGGUCGCUCACGAUCGUUGCUGGUAGCCCCCAAUAUUUAACAACAUGGCUCAUAAAGAGCUUGGCCGUCACUUCGGCAGUGGACUCUUUCGGGGUUAGGAUAAACGUAGCAUAUUUAGACAAUCAGUUAACUAUGACAAAGAUGCUCGUACAUCCCUCGGAUUUAGGCAAUCCGACUUUGAAAUCCAUUGAAAUACUUUCCCACACACUUCCCGGUAUUGGCAAGGCUUGUAACAGUCCAGUGGGUGGUUCAUUUUCCACCUUGUCUUGUUGGCACACAAAACAAGUGUGCAUGUAAUCAUCGAUAUCGUCCCUUAAGCUCGGCCAAUAGUAGCAUUCUCGUACAAGUGACAACGUGCGAUAUGUACCAGGGUGGUCAGCAUAGCGGCUAUCGUGACAUUCCUUAAGAAUGUUCCUCCUCAGGUGCCCCCAGUCAGACACGUAAAUCCGUUGGCCUUUGGCGUAGAGAACCCCAUCCUCGAGCCAAAACUUUUUUGUUUUACCUUCGCUGGCUAACUCCAUAAGCGCUUGCGCACGAUCAUCAUACAAUAGUCCUUUCUUGAUGCGCUCUAAAAGUAGCCCUUCCAUCGUGUAGACUGGCGCGACGACGUUCUUACGACUAAGAGCGUCGACCACCACAUUUGUCUUGCUCGGACUGUAUUCAAACUGGUACUUGAACUCAGCCAAAUAAUCCAACCACCGUGCUUGCUUGCUUGAUAAUUUCUUUUGUGUCUGAUGGUAGCUCAUUGCUCUAUUGUCCGUCUUGAUUUUAAACGGUGUAGUGGCCUUUAAGUAGUGCUCCCAGAUUCGCAAGCAAUGCACGACCGCAAGCAUUUCCUUCUCAUGUAUCGGCUAUCGUCUCUCCACAUCGCUUAGUUUAUGACUCUCAUAAGCUAUCGGAUGGCUGUCUUGCAUAAGAACUCCUCUAACGACAAUGUCGGAUGCAUCUACAUACAUUUCGAAUGGCUUGGCAAAAUCAGGCAAUCCCAAGACCGGCUCUUUAGUGAUUGCAUCCUUCAAUGCCUCAAACGCUGCUUGACAAGGCGCCGUCCAAGUCCACGUCUUGCCUUUGCGCAGCAAAUCUGUUAGCGGAGCCGCAAUUGUGGAAUGCCCUACGAUGAAACGGCGAUAAUAAUUCACCAACCCAAGGAACGACCACAAUUUCGUGGGCAAAGUUGGCACUGGCCACUCGACAAUGGCCUUGGUCUUUUGUGGAUCCAUGCAGAUCUUACCGCCCCUUACAAUAUAGCCCAAGAAAGAGACUUUGUGCAAGCCAAACUCGCAUUUUUCCUUCCGGACAUAUAGCUUGUUAGCUCUUAAGACAGCAAGCACUUGUCUUAAAUGCUCAAUAUGCUCUUCCAUGCUACUACUAUAUAUGACAAUAUCGUCAAGAUAAACUACGACGAACUUAUCCAAAAACUCAUUCAACACUUCUUGCAUCAAUGUGCAAAAGGUAGCUGGUGCAUUUGUCAACCCAAAUGACAUCAUUUUAAACUCGUAAGAACCAUACCUAGUAGUGAUCGCCUUGAUUCGCACUUGAUAAUAUCCCUUGCGUAGUUCAAGCUUGGAUAGCAUCACUGCUGGCUGUAGUCGGUCGAACAAGUCCGCUAUAAGAGAUACAAGAUACUUGUUCUUGACCGUUAUCUUGUUGAGUACAUGGUAAUCGUUACACAUGCGCAAGGUGCCGUUCUUCUUACGUUGAAAGAGCACAGGCACACCAAAGAGACUCUUAGAGGGAAAGAUAGACUUUGACUCCAAAAGUUUUUCAAGUUGCUUCCGCAACUCCUCUAACUCCUCGGGCGACAUUCGGUAAGGUGACCGGGAGACGGGUUUCGCACCUUCUACCAGCUCUAUUGCGUGAUCUACGGCACGCCUAGGGGGAAGCUCCCUCGGUAGUUCCUCCGGCAGCACAUCUUCAAACUCUACCAAAACUACCUCAAUCUCAUGCGGGAUUGGCGCCGACUCCUUAGACUCGUACAGCGGCGGGUCUUCUUCACUAAAGAUGGCCGCGAAGGUCGGCUCAUUCUUACGUAGUCUCUUUUCCAACUGUCGGGGACUAAUUUCAGCUUCUCUACAUACAUUCACCACACAUGGCUUGUCUCUUUGUGUAAUGUAUCAGUAUGUGGCACCAAAAUCGGUCUCAACUGGUCGAGAAAGCGCAUGCCAAAGAACACUUCGUAGUCGUCGAUCGGCACCAUGAAGAAGCUAGUCGUACCCAUCCAUUGUCCCAAGCUUACGGGUACCUCCUUGGCCUCUCCCACGAGUCAUGUCCACUCCCCAUUAAUGCCUUUAAAACGGCCCGAUGCCGACACCCAAGCAAGGCCCAUCUUGUGCGUGGUGUCCUGACUCAUAUAGUUGACAUCCGCUCCUGUGUCCAGCAGAGCCAUCGUUUGAUGCCCGUUAAUGUGUGUGUCGAGGUACAUGCGAUCUCGAUCAUUUGUUGCCUGCACGGCCUCUGCAGGUUGUACACACGCAACCUUCCGUUCCUCCGUCAAGCUAGCUUGUUGCGCGACUGCAGCAAGGCUGUCACGACUUGGGCAGUCACGAGCAUAAUGAUCCUUGAUCUUACACGUAUAGCAUCCCUCGUAAUUCUUCCCCGGCUUCAAGUUGCUUGGGCCUCAUUCCUUUUGUUGGUUUCUAUCGGUCUGCGAUCGUGGGGCUUGUUUUUGCCGGUCUCCCCCACUCUUUCCAUUGCCCGGCUUCUUGCUCUUGUCCUUCGCUGGUUCCUUCCAUUGAAACUCAAUUAAACGCUAGGCUGCUUUCAUGGCUUGGGAGACAUUGCGCCGAUCCUUGUCCUCCACUCGUUGCUUAGCCCACGGUCGUAGGCCAUCAAGAAACGUAAACAAAGCAUGUGCGGGUGCCAUGUUUGGUAUCUCCAACAAUAAAUUGGAAAACUCGUCCACAUACUCCUUCAUAUGACCGUUCUUAUGCUGAAGAUGGCGGAGUUUGGCCCUUGCCUCAUGCUUCGCAUUGGCCGGCUCAAAUUCGACCUUAAUCUCGGCCUUGAACGCCCUCCAAGUGGUGAUAGCAGCCUCACCACAGCGUCCUUCAUCACUCUUACGUCUCCGCCAUAUCAAAGCAGAAUCCUUCAAAUAUAGCGGAGCCGUUCACAAGCGAGUCUCAUCACUUGCGAUAUCAAGGGCAUCGAAGUACCGUUCGAGCCCAUAGAGGAAAAUUCUCUAUUUCCCUUGCUUUCCUCGCACCACCGAAAGCUUCUGGAUGCAGAACUUCCAUUCUUGGUGCGGUCACAGUCGCACCACUUGGCCCUUGUGUAACGCCCCCACUUCUCCCUAAGGCGAACCAAAGGGUAUCCGCGGGACGCCUGCCCAGCUCUCGCCAGGACUCACUACAAUCCAUCAUUCAAAAGCUCGAAAUACUUUAAGUAACUUCAAUACAUAAUUAAAGUACUCCAAAUAUCUCACACUUACAAUUAUGCAGCUUCCAAGCUUAAUACAACCCAACGGAAAAGGGUACAAUAGCCAUCCGUUAUAAUAUAACUUAAAGUUUUCAAAAGAAAAUAAUCUAGUACUACUCACGAGCACCCUUGGUCUCGAACCCUGUAAAAGAAAACCACAACGUGGGAUGAGCUACACAGCCCAGUGAGGUUCCAAAACACUUUAACAGUUCAAAUAAAUCAAGUAAGUUGGGCAUAUCAUAUGCAUGGUUCAAUGUUACACAAUGGCGUGUUAUCAUGAGGUGAUAAUCAUUGUACGAGUAAUUUGAGACAUUUAUCAUGGUAUAUUUUAGUUUUUUUUUGUCAUUAAAAAAUCUUUAACCAGAACACAAAAACAAUAAAAAAAAAUCAUAACAUUUUCUAACCUUUUUUUUUUUUUUUUUGCUUUAAGUAUCCGGUAUCUUCACCUUCAUUGAAACUAAUCUCGAUUCAGCUCGAGGAGCACUUGCAGAGUUCAACUCUUAAUCGGGAAUGAAGGCCUAGUCCAAAGAUUUUCAAGGUGUCAUGUAAUAUGCAGGAGUCGGAAUUUAUGUCAAGUUUCAUGUCUGAUCAUAUUCAAUUAUAUACUUAGCGUGUACAAUGCUGAAAUUUAAGUGUCCUGGUAUUCACAUCUACUUUAAAUAGACAUUAAUACGGCAUUUCUAAUGGCACACCUAAUUUUCUUGAUUAAUCCAAACAUCAACAAAUAACCUCAAGUCCUGCAAAAACCUAAUUAGUUACAUAUUACUUUCUAAGGAAUUGUGUCCCACAUACAUCUCCUCUUGUCUAGAAUCAGUAUGAUUUUACAUAAGAGAAUUCCUUUGGUCAAUUAAUUUGUUUUAUCCUUUGGUCAAGAGAAUUCCUCUUGGCCUUUCCCAAAAAAAAUAAUAUGUUUUAUCUAACAAUAAUGUAAGCUAUAAUUACCUGAAGACAACGCAUCCACUGGUCCCCCAACACUGAUGAUAACAGAAAAGAUUUUGAAAAUCCUACAUCAAGCGAUAGAAACGAAUUAAUUAAUGUAUAAUCCACUUUCUUGAUUUUAGAAAUUAUUCUCAUAUUUAUAUGCAUCGCUUAAUAAUAUCGUGAUUUAAAAUCACUUGUUAUAAGUGGAAUCUUAUUUGAUAUAGCAAAAAUCUCAUGAGUUGCUUUAACAAUCAUCAUCUGUAGAAUGUAGAUGAGACUCAGGAUUAAAGCUUUGUUUUCGGUUGCUUUAGAUUUUACAAAAUCUAAUUAUAGAAACUGAUUAUAGAAUUAGCAAAAGCUAUUCUUUUGGUGAUUAUAGAUUUUGGGUUUUUUGGUCAUUAAAAAACCUUUAAUCAAAACACAAAAACUGAUUAUUCAAAAUUAGAAUCUAUAAUCAAUUAAAAUAAUCAACUGAGAAUAAACCCAAAGUCCACAAAAGUUGGACUAGGCAGUAAAAGCUAUAAGAACUUUAAAUCUAUAGUUUCUUUUCUUUUGGUUUUUUCCAGUGAAUCUCAAAGAUACAUUCAUAAAGAUGAAGGUAAGGAAAUUUCCCUCUUGUUAACCUCGUGCCAAAGGACUUCACAGCUUACAGUAGUAAUAUUUCUUGAAAGAGGAAAUAGACAUUUAUGCCAGUGGACAAACAAGUAAAACGUCCAUUCUGUUUGCCAUUUCUAACUUUCAGUUUCGUCAAAAAUUAUGUCUAAGUUUCAUGUCUGAUCAUAUUCAAUUAUACUUAGCAUGUAUAAUACUGAAAUUUACCCGUUUGGAUUGCAUUUUUCAUCAUUUUUCAUGGAAAAAUUACUGUAACGAUUUGAUGUAUGUGAGGGAAAAAGGUAAUAGGAAAAUGUGUUUACGGAAAACGACGUAAUUUUUCGAUGGAAAACAGCAAUCCAAACAAGGGUAAUCACAACUGCUUCAUAUCUAAAUAGACAUUAACACGGCACUUCUAAUGGCGCGCCUAAUUUUCUUGAUUAAUCCAAACAUCAACAAAUCACCUCAAGUCCUGGGAAAACCUAAUUAGUUUCUAAGGAAUUGUGACCUAGAUACUUCUCCUCGUCAAGAAUCAGUAUGAUUUUACAUAAGAGAAUUCCUUUUUGUCAAUUGAAACUAUAAAGCUCAAGUUCAACAUGAACCCAACCAGGUUUAUGUAAAGGUCUAGGAUGUAAUGUUUCAGCUGCUGAUUUUCCAAAAUCCCAUUUAAGUUGGCCCUCUAAAUUUGAUGAUAUUCUUGACAUUGCGUCCUUCUUUGAAGUGCAUGCAUUGUAAAUUCAAAGGGUGCUAAACGUAGCAUUUAUGAAGAUUCUCCCUUGAAGACACCCAUAGGCCUUGGAACUAGUCAAUUGAAUCUAAUAAAUUCAGGUAAUUUUUUGUUUACAAAGUAACGAAAAAUCAAGCGGAUUGAAAUUGUCCUUAAACUUCGAAAAUUUGUUAAGGGAGCAAAUAUCCGCAUUCUCAUUAUUGGGCCUUCUAAUUUUUUUCAAAUAACUUUUUGAUUUUCACUCUCCCAAGUCAAAUUAUCAGUAAUCACUAUAAAUUCCUUUUUUUUUUGGUUAAGUAAUCGACAUAAGUUCUAAAAAAAUUCAACAGAAAAUCUCUGUAACCUGCGGUAUUCAGAAGAAAUCGCUGUUCAGAAAAUGAGAUAAAAAGGUAAUUAGAAAAAUAAAAAGGUGUAUUAAAAAUUCUAACAAUAAUAUAAAUAAAUAUAUUUGAAAAAAUAAUCACCCGAUCGAUGUUUUGUAUCUCCAAUUAUUGUGGUGUAAAGCAUGCAACCUCAGACAAAUCAUUAAAGUUCCAAUUUGGUAGAAAAGCAAGUCAAGCUUUGCAAUACUGCUCACGCUGUGGAAUAGCAAGUAAAGUUGCACAACUUUAAUAAAGAAAUAAAUAAGACAACAAUCAUGACUCCUGACUAGCUGGAUUUGGACGCGUACAUGUCCCUUGUCAUAAUUGAAAUAGCAUCAUGACAUAUAAGGUACACUAUAUUAACCAUGCUAUUUAUUAAUGUUUUUUAGUCAAGCGACAAAGAAUUUGAUUCUCCUUAAAUAUGAUUUCGGAUUUUAAUCUUCUAAAUAGAGAAAAUAACAUUAGAAGACAUCCUCUGAAAGAGAUCAAGCGAGACAGUACUCGAUUUUAAAUUAGUCGAAACAUAAUGCAAUCGCGGGACACCAAAAGGUUUACAAUGACAACAAUACAUUGAGCAUUCUAUUUUUCAAGAUUAAUGAUAGACAAUUCGAGAGAGCUUUUUGUCAAUUGGAAUCACUCAUUUAUUUUAUUGAAUUUUGCCUGUGCCCACCAGUAGAAAACUCAACAGAAGUUUAUUUUUUAAGGAGCUCAUUUUUUUUUUUUUUUGAAUUUGAGCUCGAUUUCCAAUCAACUCUACGACUGUGAUACAUUAAUGGGAUGCGCAUCUGAUCUUAAAGUUAUCAGUUAAGAUUUUUGUCAAUUUGUUGUAUUUUAUCUUAAGGAUAAUUCCAGAAACCUCUCCUGAGUUUUUGAUAAUUUUACUAAGUUCCCUCGAGAUUUUUAUAAAUUACACAUGUUACCCGUAUUCAUUUGAAAUGAUAAUAGCCUUGACAUUUCAAUAAAACUCCUUGUUGGGUGUAUGCCUAUACAAAAAAUGAGUUUUUUUUUUUUAUUUUUUUCUUUUUCUCUUCUUAAUUAUCCUUUUAUAUAUCUUGCUAGUAAAGCCACGUAUGACAUAACUAUCAAUAUUGAUUUUAGCCUGUAUCAAUAUCAUAUGUUAGACUAGUGACUUUUUUUUUUGGGACAACUUUGCACGUGACCAAUUUUUUUUCAAUCUUUUUCUUUUAUAUCAAAAGCAACAAUAACUCUAAAAAGGAAAUCACCCAAAACUCCUUUCAAAUCAUAAUAGUUCCACUGGUCAAAAUUUCGAGAAGCUCUAAAAGAAUUAUGACAAUACCUUCUUCUCUAAUUAGAAAGAAUAUAAAACCACAAUCAACACACAAUGAAAAAUUGUUUAUAAUAAUAAUGGAAUUGUUAUUGUUGCUUAUCAAAUACUAAACGGGUAUUAGAAACUUGACACUAUUUUCUUACCAUUGUGCUAAAUUAUUUGGGAUAAUUAAUAAAAACUUUAUGAACUGAGAGCAUUUUAGGAUUUUCACUUAAAUUUUGACAAAAUGUAAGGUUUGGUUAUCAAAAAUGUCAAUUCAAGGGACGUAUGUGUAAUUUUUUAAAAAAUUUCAAAGAAACUCAGUGAAAUUGUCAUAAACUUCAGAAGAGAUUUAUGAUAUAUUAUCCCUUUCUCUAUUUAUAUCUGGUUCUUUAUUCUUUAGACACUUUAUUUUUGAUGAUUUAAGGACUUCCUUAAUUUUGUUUCACUCGAUAAUUAUAACACUUACUCAAAUAAAACAGGUAUAACUUUAUGGAAAGGAAGGUAAAAGGGGACCUUUACCUUUUUUCCUUUGCUUUCACAAGUAGAGAAGAGUGGGACAUGUGUUGUAAGUUUUUUUUUUCAUCUGAUCAUUAUCAUUCAUUGCCUACAGUGUUGCAUUUAGUAGAUCGUUUUCUCUGAAAUGCAAAUUUUUACUUACCACUUAUGCCAUCAGCCCUUGGAAACUUCUCACUUAUCCAACCACUUCUUUGGAAAAAAAAGAAAAUUUCAGUCAAAAGUUGAAUCCUAAAUGCAAAGCUACAAUAGUUUGGUGGGCUGUUGUUUGGUAUGCAUCAAUGUCGUGAAGACUUUUGAGAGCUGCUUUAGCUUUAUAUGCACAUCUGUUGACUGUUGCAAAGGAAAAUUUCCAAAGCAAUAAUGAAUGAACCUCUUUUUAACAAAGAACAUCAAACAACAUUGCAAGGAAGGUUCCUAAAUAACCUGUUGAAAGCAUUAACCCCACAAAAGAAAAGAAAAAAAAAAUAAAGAGGGGCACAAAUUUUAGUGGUGCAAACAUGAUAUGGAUAUUGGUGUCAAUUUCUUAUAGAGUCUGAGGGAUACCUUUGCUUGUGAAAAAAAAUUACAAUCAAUUUGAAGUUGACUUAGUCCAAAUCUUUUGAAAAGGCAACUCAACAAAUAGUGUUGAGACAUAAAUUAUCAUUCUAGUUGGCGGUCUUUUGGGUACUAUGACGACAACAACAUUAAGGUAGGGUCGAUUUUUUUUUCGUUGACGGUGUUCGGGACUUUGGCCCGACUAAUUUCCUGCGAUUCGGGAGAGGGCCCCCAAUCCUUUUCGAGUGAUUUUAACAGUGGGACUCGAAUUUUAGUGGACAUAUCAAAAAAACAAUCACAUCGAUUGACUACCCGUUGGAACCGAAGGUAGCGUCGAUUCACAUUGGGCAAUAGUGAUAAACAAGCAUAGGUGGCGUACAAUUGAAAAUUGUCCUAAAAAUAACUAAAUGAUUUAACUGUGAUAGAUAUGGGAAAAUGGACACCCUAAUUUCUUAAUAAUAGAUGUACAAACUCAAAUCCAGAGACAAUUUAUUUUCUUUUUCAAUCGAAAUAAGAGAUCGAUUUUUUGUGCUAAUAUAUACAUCCCCUGCUAAAUCGCAUUAUCUUCAUCAAGACCUAAUUUAGCUAGUAGAACAAUAAGUAUGUCAUUUCUAGUUAAACUCUCAACUUUACCCCUUUUCCCUUUUCUCUUUGUAAAGUUUGGAGUCUCUCUUGACAAAAAAAAAGAAAAAAGAAUCAUAUUUUGCAAUUUUAAAAAAGCAUGAUGUUAGUCUAAGUAAAUUAUUUUUUCCCCAAAAAGGACAGUCUAUAAGUAGCACAUACUUAAAUCUUUUGUUGGUAUGUUGUUGGGUAAAGUGGAUUUACCUUCAUGCCCCGCACAAUAUUCCCUGGUUCAAAUCUCAUGGCCAUGCCCAAAAUUGGUAUUUAUUAUUAUUAUUUUUUUGUCUGAGAUAAAUCAGUAUUUUUCUUGCUCUAAAUGUCUACAAAAUUUAUUAACUUAAAGUCUAUGGGCUUGGAACAGGCCCACAACAAGUUUUUGACUCCUACAGAGUGAAAAGACGAGUCCGGGACAAGUUGAAGAUCCAACAUUCCUUGCGCUUGUUGCGUUUAAGAUCCACAAUGAUACUCCAUUCAAAUUGUUAGUUCCAAUUCGAAUUUUUGGACUCGAGCUCAAAUUCAGUUAAAAUCUUAUAAACUCAAAUUCGGCUUUAUAUUUGAUAGGCUUGAUUCGAUUCUCAACCUAGAAAUUUAUUUAAUUAAAAUAUUAGAUUAUUAGUGUUGCAUAUAUAAUAUCGAUACAACAAAUUACACAUGUAUAAUUUUACAUAAAUAAUAAUAAAUAUUUUAAAUAAAAAUAUUUCAAUAUACAAGAUUUAAUGAACCGAAUAUAUACAAAUUCAAAUUUGAUUUCGAUACUUUGAUUGAAUUUUAAUACUUAUUUGAAUUCGAGAUCGAAUGCAUUAAAGUCAAACUAAAAUCAAGCCCUUAAUGAAUUAAUUGAGUUUGAAUCAUCAUUAAGGGUUUGGUUUGUUUGUAACCAACUAUCAAGACUUAUUUUAGCUAACCCAAAUAAAAUUUGAACUUUUUUCAGGUGGUUGAUUAUAAUUUUUUUUUUUGUAAAUGAGGUUGACUAUUAUAAUUAUACAACCUAAGAAGUGCAUUUAUAUGAAUUAUGAUGGUUUUUUUUUUUCAUAAGGGAAAAAUUUUGAAAUACGGGUGCUUUUGUUUUGGACUAGAUUACUUUUUUUAAUUAGAAAAAAAAAAGACAAGAUGAUCUUUGUUUCCCUUCCAAAGGAAAAACUUUUUUUUUUUCCUUCGGAAAGUUUCCAAAGAAAAAGUUGAUAUUGAAAGGAAGUUUAUUCAGCAAAAUAUAUUAAGAUAAUACCAUUAGUAGUUAUGUGGUAGAAACAAUUUGCUGAUAUCAAUUAACCAAUAUGCAAUCAAUUAGUUUACCAAUAAAAUUUGUGUUUUAUUAUAACUGCUCUACGAGUAAAUUUUGGUCUCCUAACUAAUAUGUUCAAGAUUAGUCCCAUUUUUGUUGUUGGUUUUUCUAAUGGUAAGAUAAGUAUCAUUUACUUUAACAAGAAACAAUUUACGAAAUCCUACAAUAAAAUAAGUGAACUUCAAGCUCCAACCACACAUGAAGAAGGAAUAUAAUGGAGUAUAAAAGUCCAAAAACGAUCAUCACCACAAGAAAAAGAAAAAUGCUAAGAAUAAUCCUACACCACCAAAUUCUGAUAACCUAUUUUAAAAUGAAAAGGAAAAAAGGUCAGUUCGUGGGUAUUGUAUAUAAAAACCUUUACUUUUCAUAUAAAGAAUAAAAAUUAAAGGCCCAAAAUAAAAUAAAAUUUUCUAGUAUAUUAAAAUUAAAACGAAAUUUCAAAAACCUUCCUUGAGAUUUUUAACUAUUUCACUAGCUUUCCCUUUAGAUUCAAAAAUUAUACUAACCUCUUUUGAAAUUAAUUAUCUUGUAACAUUUAUGUCCCAAUCAAUAAUUAAAAAGUGAUAUUAGAAAGUGAAAAUAAUUGAUUUCAUCAUUGUCCCUCAUUUGCUAUAUUAUUUAAUUAAUUUAAUACAAACUCACACAUUAAAGAAAAACACCAAAAAAUUUACUGUUUAUCAUUAGAAAUCAAAUCACAUAAUAUCAAAAAAUAUUUUAGUUACAUUAAUAUCAAAGAAUAUAUUAUCAAAAAAUAUUUUAUAAUAUCAAAGAAUAUAUUAUUUAUAUUCUUCAUUUAAUAUAAGAUCCAAAUUAUUCUUUUUUAGUUACAUACCCAUUGUCAAAGAUGAUCAACAACCAAUAAUCAAAAUAUUUCCAAUCAAAAUAUUACAGUGAACAAACUUUAAUAUCAUAAACAUUCUUGUUAGCAUAUUGCGGUUAGUCAUUAAGUUUUUAUGGUAUUGAGGUUCACUUUUUGUAAUAUUUUGGUUACAGAUUUUUUUGAUUAAUUAUUGUUAAUCAUAUUUGACAAUAGAUUUGUAAUUGAAAAGAGUUAUUUGAAUCUUAUAUUUAGUGAAAUAUAUACAAUGAUAUACUCUUUUUGAUGCCAUAUGCGAUUUAAUCCCUAAUGAUAAACAACAAAUUUUAAUAUAUUCUUUAAUAUUUGGACUGAUAUUAGAUUAACUAAAUAAUUUAGUAGACGACGGGCAACGGUGGAAUCAUGUUAUCUUUUCUCGUAAUAUCAAUUUUUAAUUGUUGAUUGGAUCUAAAUAUUACAAAAUAAUAAACCUUAGGGGAGAUUAGUGCAGUUUUCAAAACUUGAAGGGAGCCAGUGAAAUGGUCAGAAACCUCAAAGUAGGUUUCUAAAAUUAUCCCAUUUCAAAAUUAUAAAUCAUAUUUCUGGCUGGAAAGAACCACUUAUCAAUGGAACUAAUCUUGGAACUUUUACAACCACUGCUGCUUCAAUUUCUUCCCGAUCUUUAAUCAUCUCAAAUCCCCCAAUCGAUUCUCAGGUACUGGAACUCUUCACCACCUUAAUAAAAAUCCGGAAAAUAAUCAAUUCUCAAUUGAUUUAUCGGCCUAAGUUUGAUCAUUUUGAUAUAUUAGGAGCUUCCAUGGAAGUCUCAAAAAUUGCUGAGACCAACUGAAAAGACCGGGUCUUUGGUGUCCCUUUGUCGUGUAAAUAAAGUUUACUACCAUAAAAAUGCUUCCCGGAAGAAGAAAUUUGAUCUCCAACCAGUUUGGAGGUUUAAUAAAAGAUUCACUUUUCAGCAAUGUAGCAAGAGUUUGAGUAAAUUGUCAGCAAAAUUUAAUGAAAGAUUUCUUCUUUCCUUCUGCCGGGUGGUUUGUGGAGUAAUGUUGGCUGUGACACUUUCUGCUGCUGUUAGCAAAAGUCCUUGUUGUAAGUGUUUCUGCUUGCCUGCAUUGCUGUUUUAUAAUAUACCCAGUUUUCCUAUAAGUUGACAUUAUUGCAUAUUUUUAGCUGACAUACAGUGAUGAAGUUGUUAUUACCCCUUGAUUAUGGCCCUUUUUCUUGAUGUGGCAAAUGCAUGUUUGGUGUUUUUGGUUUUGUGGUUAUAUAAUUAUUAUUGAUGGGAUAUCCUAAAAUGACAUGAAUAAAACAAGAUGUAACUUUUGUUAGUGUUUGUUAACUGUUCUUUGAUGAUGAAUGAUUUGAUGAUGUACUUUGUUGAUAUGAUUAAGAAUGGUACACUGUAGGGCCUUGAGUGAAAAAAUCUUCUUUUUCUGGAAGCAUGGAGAACAAUUGAUAGGGCUUAUGUUGAUAAACAUUCAAUGGACAGAGUUGGUUUAGAUACAGGGAAAAUGCGCUGCGCAACGAGCCAAUGACCACUCGAGAAGAGACAUGUACGAAUUUGAUCUCCUUGAGCUGUAAUAGGUAGAUAUACCUGUCAUUGCAUAUAAAUUAGUAUGGUAGAAUCAGCAUGUUUCCUUGCAUCCCUAUGUGAUGGUCAAAAAAUUUCUUUAACCAACAGCAUCCACUGAGUCAAUAUUGUGUUAAGAAAUUUUGUAGGAUUAAUAUAUGGUGGUUAUCAUUUGCUGAACGGUUGAUUACUAGCUUGUCUUUUCGAUACAUUUGUGCUUUCUUUGGGUGAGAGGACAUCUGCAUAUCUUUACAUGGCCAAAUGAACAAAUAUGGACCUUGUAUUGUUUUAUAGUUUUCUCAUGGGGAACUCGAGUUUCAUUCUACUUUCGCCCUAUUGUUUACAUAGUCUUUCUCAGCUACUAUAAAUUUCUGAAGCUAACAUCAUGAUGUUUUACUGCAUAUGGUUUAGAAAAGAUUAUGCAUUUCGAACAUCUGGGAAAUUUCCAUUAAGUUUUAAAUUUGUAUACCUACAAAAAAAUGCAAUUUUGCAGAUCUACAAGCUUGGUCCUAAAGAAAGAAAGAAAGAAGAAAGAAAGAAAGAAAGAAGAAAAAGAAUACUAAAGCUGAAGAAUUUGUAUUUCUUGUUUAUACUCAUUGGUACAAUUUUCUUUUACCAUUUAUAGAAUGUGUCGCCUUUGUUCACUUCCUUUCAGAUGCAGCGAUAAAGGAAGAUGAUUUCUACUUUAGAUGAUCCUUUCAGCCGGUUUCUGGAGCCUGAAAAGUUCAAGAAUCUGCGGGUAUGGAGCUCUUAACUUCUGUUUCCUGUAUGCUAUAUUCAGUUUGUGUGGCAAAUUAGCUUGAACAAUCAUUGAUUUCACCGAUGCUCCCUGAAAUUAAAAAGUCUUAAACAUUCUUUGAAGGCAGUCAGGAACACAAAGUUCUCUGACUGGAGUAGGGCUGUCAAUUGGCUAUCCUACAGGAAAGGAUGGAUUAUCCUCUGGACUGGUGGUUAUUUCAGCUGCUCCAGGAGUCCUGCAUAUAGAGCGGAAUUUCUCCUGGUGAUUUGAUCCUGGCAAUUGAUGAUAAAAGUACAGAAGCAUGACCAUUUAUGAUGCUGCUGAGCACUUGCAGUGAGUUUGUUUUAUACAAUUGCCUGCUUUAUCCAACAAUAAAUGAAGUGGGGUGGGCCAUUGCUUCUUUAACUGAAUCAUACAAGAUAUUCCAGGAGAAGGGAUUGAACUGACAUAGAGUUUUUGUUUUCUCAUUACAUGAAUGCGAAAAAAGGGAACAACUGAAAUUCCACCACCCCAAAAAAAGAAUGUGAAAGAUUUUUUUUUUUGGGGGGGGGGGGGAUGGGGGGCAAAAGAGACGAGCAAAACAAACCAAUAGAUACCUGGACUUGUAUCAUGUAUUUAAUGUCCUUUCCUGGAUAAGCAGUGAACUAAAGAUUCGAGAUUUUUUUUAAUGGAAAAUUUCAAGUGGCUGUGUGGGUCUAAAUUUGAGCUGAAUGCAGGGGACCUGAAGAACAGGAGUAGACCUAACUGUACGUCAGGGUUCAGAGAUAAGGAAUGUCCCUUUGAUGUACGUUGACCAUGUUUGCUUUAUUUUAAACAAUUAUUAGCCUAAAAUGACAUGUUCUUUGUCUGAAUUUUCAUGCCAUUAUCUUUGCGUUGGCUUUUUCUUUUAAAUACCGCAUCAUGGAUUUUGCUUGAUCAAAAUAUGUACGAAUUAGUGCUCUCCAUUGGUAUAAGUUGCAUAUAGUAUCAGAUUUUUCAAAAAAUUGGUCUUCAUGUCUGAAGUUCCUUUUGACUUUCUUUUUGGAGGAAAAGGGGCACGAAGGACAUGAUUUACUACUUGAAGAGAUUGAUUGGAUAUAUGUUUAUUGGCAUGCUUUCGAUUCACAUGCUUGACACUUUACGAAGUCCUAUUUUAAACUUUUACUCAUUGAAAAAAAUUACUGCUGCUUUUCAGACGCGAGAGAGUUUCACUGAAUCUGUGAAGUCAAAAAUUUGCAAGACUCCUGGUAUGGGGAAGGACGGCGCUCGGGUUGGAUAUAUCAAAUUAACAUCUUUCAACCAAAAUGCAUCUGGUAUAAUUUAGCUUAUUUGACAUCAGAUUUUGAAAAUUAUUGAGUUCAUAUAAUCUUUUCUUCUGCUUGAGAAGCAAUCUUUAUUGUCUUGACUUCUACUUGGUAAUAAUUCACUUUUACAAAUCUUCCCUAACAUCCUUCGAGCCUUUGGUUAUUGUUCAAUAUGAAAAUCCUUUUAAUAUCUGUUCAAUCUAUGAAGAAUCCUUUUAAUAUCUGAACUUUGUCAUUCUGCUAUUUUGAACCAUUUUCAAUGUUGUUACUUUACUAACAAUCUGCUCUAAAUGUUUUGGUUCCCUUCUGAAACAUCUUCUGUUCCCUCACAUACUGGAACGUGGUUUUGGUACCUAUAGCUAUAUGUAACUUGGGAAAUAUUGUGUCCUUCUGAAUUCAUUACUACUUUGUCUGGCCUUUGAAAUAUGGUCUUCAAUUUUGCCUCAGAGGCAAACAGCAUACUAAUAAAAGUUUCUUAUUGAAAAUAAACUCUUGUUCUUUGAUGAUGCAGCUAUGCCUCACUAAGGGCAGAGGGCAUGGUAAAUUCCUUUGUCUUUGUCGUCAUUGUGCUAUAUAGUGAUCUAUUUAGAUAAUAUAUCUCUUUAAUCCUUCGUCUGCCAAAUAUCCAUUUUAGGUGCAGUAAAAGAAGCAAUUGAAACUCUGAGAAAGGACAAUGUCAGUGCCUUUGUAUUAGAUCUCCGAGAUAAUAGGUGACAUGCUUUUGAUGUGCUUCAUCGUAGAUUUAUUCCAUUGUUUUGCUUUUGAUGUGCUUCAUCUUAUAGUUAUUCCACUGUUUUGCUUUCUAAAAAACUAAAAUUUUGGUGCAGUGGUGGUCUUUUCCCAGAAGGAAUUGAGAUUGCCAAGAUUUGGUGAGUUUCUUACUGCAUACUUGCACACAACAUUAUUUCAGUUGUUUUUUUUAUAUUUUAUGCUUCUUGCUGUUAAGUACUUCAUAGCGUCUUUCAACAGUAGACUAAGUUAACAUUAGAUGUUUAACUAGGUAUGAAAUCCUUGAAGUGUUGUAGCUUUCUUAACCCCUGUCAUGAGUAUUUGGUAGAUGUUUUAACAUUAUUUCAGUUCUUUUUGUUUAUAUUUUACGCUUCUUACUGUUAAUACUUCAUAGCAUCUUUGAACAGCAAACUGUUAAUGUUAGAUGUUUUAACUAGUAUGAAAUCUUUGAAGUUUGUAGCUUUCUUAAACCCCUUGUCAUGAGUAUCUUUUGGAAGGAAUGCAUGCUUAUCAACUUGUUCAUUCGUCCUUGCAUGUAUCAGGAACUGAUUUUUUAACAAGUUGAUUAUUUUGCUUGGAAAAAAAUCUUCAAAAUCACCUUACUCCCUCUGCUUCCUGUUCCUAACCAGGCUGGACAAAGGAGUGAUUGUGUACAUCUGUGAUAGUCGUGGUGUUCGAGAUAUAUAUGAUACAGAUGGAAGCAAUGCAGUAGCAGCUUCAGAGCCUCUAGUAGUGCUGGUACGCUGAGCAGUUUCUCAACACUCAAUUUUAAGCUCGGCAAUUUGAUUGAAUAUUUCCGUUCACUAUACAAUCAGCUACUAAAUUGUAUGAAAAAGAUCCCUAUGCUAUUUACUGUGUUUAGCUGAUAGAGUUGGUUUGCUCGAGACUCAUAACUUCAAGGAUCUAGAUUCCAAGUCCUGAUACCUUAACUUGCUCGAUGAUAUCCUACAACUGAUAUAAACGUAUAAAUAUAAACAUAUAAAUCAGUUUUCUGUUUGUGUUUAUACUUGAAAAAAUGGAAAGUUGGGCAUUAGAGUUUCUAUGUUACUGUUGGGCUGGAUAUGAUUUUGGGUGGGAUGUAAAGCUUAUAAUUUAGCAUUGUUAUGACUUGUGGUAACCAAAAGUUUCUCAAAGAGUUGCAAUCCAUCAUUCGAAGUUAAUAAAGAUCGAGAGCGGAUUUCAGAUUACAAUUAGAUAUGAUGUUUUUAUUCAUCCCUGAAAAGGAAGUCAGUCAAAAUCUUUGAUGGAAUUUAUCGCUCAACACUUCAUCCAUCUCAAAUGUUGUGGCAGUUGAUCUGACAUAGUGUUUUGAAAACCCAUUAUGUUCAAACCCAGGGAUCCUGCUGUUUGAAUUACAAAAUUUAGUUGCCAAUUAUCAGAACAAAAUAUUAGUAUCUGUUCCUUUUCUUCUCAUUUUCUUUCCCAUGCUACUUGAAGGUGAAUAAAGGAACUGCCAGUGCAAGUGAAAUUCUGGCUGGUGCUUUGAAGGAUAAUAAGCGAGCUACGCUUUUUGGAGAACAAACUUUUGGAAAAGGGUGGGCUGCACAUACUUUUUACUCACAUGUUGGUACUUCUAUCAAAAUGUUAUAGUAUUCUUAUGUUGUUCUAACUAGGCUUGAUUGCUUCCUAUGUACAGCAAGAUUCAGUCUGUUUUUGAGCUAUCUGAUGGCUCUGGCUUGGCAGUAACAGUUGCUCGUUAUGAGACUCCAGCUCAUACAGAUAUAGACAAGGUCUAUCAUGGCACAUAUUCCAUGUCUUCUUAUAAAAGAAAAUCCUAUUGUCUGAUAAACAUAAUACAUUUAUUAUUUAUUGUAGAUUGGCAUAAUCCCGGAUUAUCGUCUUCCAGCAUCAUUUCCUAGAGAUGAUGAGAGUUUUUGCGGCUGCCUUCAGGACCCAGUCUCUGCUUGCUAUCUUGACGAAGUUAAACUCUUCGCAAGAUGACAGAAUCCUUCCAAAUGUGGUCACUUUGGAUUCUUUUGCAACUGUAGAUAUGCCGGCAGAGCGAGCUGACAAAUUACUGGUUUAACGUGCAAUCUUACAUUGUUUCUCCCCAAUUGGGAAAUACAGAAACUCCAGACUUCUCGCUUCGGGUGCGCUCUACGAGGAGUCGAAGACCCCCCCCCCUUUUUUUUUUGCUUUUUUCUUCCUGAGAUUUGGCCCUUUGAAACUAUAGAAAGAGGAAUUGAUUGAGCCAUAAAUUGUCCGCUGAUGUACUCCAAAUCUAGAACAUUUGUCUCAUGCUGUAAUUCCCUAAGCACAAUCCUUCAUUUGGAUGGGUGGAAUUGUUGUAACCACACUGAUACAAAUAUUAGUCCAAAACCCUGCAAGGGAGCCAGAAGCACCAUAACUUUUGGUACUGUGGGAUAUUAAAGCAAUAACUGAUUCUUCUUUCUCCGAUGAUACAAAAGUUUCAUUCAGAUGUUAGAGCUGCAACUAUUUUUAUAAUCCAAUUGGGAUUUUCGGGAGAAAUUUUGUAAUCAUUGACAUAUUAAAAUCAGCUUGAUGGCCUUAUUUCGUAUCAUAAACCUCUCAAGCAUGGUUGUAACGUUAAACUGGCUGGAGGAAUAAGAUACCACCCUAAAUUCUCCUACACCAGUGGUACGCGAACUAUUGAAUCUGGCGUAUGAGAAGUUCCAUGACAAAACAGAAAGUGAACAAAAAAAAAAACAGAUUAGUGCAGUUGCAUACUAAUUUAAGAUAUAUCCUGGAUUAUUAGUCUUGCAUAUCUGUUGUUUUGGAUUGAUUCAGAGGUGGAACUCGUCAGGGCUGCUACCCUGGGUUAGGGUUGGGUUGAGCUAGAGAAAAGGUGGAGUCACAAGUAAGGCACUUUAUGUUUGAACAGCAACUCCACUUCCAAUCUUUGGGGCAUUCUGCAUCAAAUAAGAAUCUUGAGAGUUUCAAGUCCAAAGGCUACUUGAGAGAUGACAUUUAUCAGAAAAUGCUGAGACUAGAAAAGCCCUAUAAUGCAAUGUUGAUUUGAGGUAUAGACUUCGGUUCCAGCGUCCCCAUAGCUGACAUUCUUUCCCCAGUUGAGUGCCAGUAAAACGCACCAACUACUGCAUCGACUGGCGUUGGUUCAAUUCUGGUAUAGUUUUUAAUCAACGAUACCAAAACAUAGCCUUGAAGUCAUCCUACAAACCCAAGGUUUCAUUGUAGAUUCAUAACCGUACCUACAUGUAUGUAUUGUAAAAUUGCUUGUAACUUGUCUUUCCCAGCCUUUUAGGUUUCACUGACCAAAGUGAAAUAUGCGGGAAAUGACACCAAAUAGUGCUGCAGAUUCAAGAAAUUUUUUUUUCGCUAUAACUACAGCAUCUUAGCCAAAAAUGGGAAAACCGCGAUGAGCAAUCUCAACAACAAAGGUGUAUCACUUUUCUCAGUUCUCAUACUCAACCUACCGUUCUCUGGAGGUGAAUUCUUUGAUUUGCCUACACUUUGACCUGAACUACUUGAAGAUCCUAUAUCAAACUCACUCAAACCGUCUAACUCAUCCCAUCCGCCAAAUGUUGGUGCAUUCUUUUCAACUUGAUCAGUUGAAUCAUCAUGUCCAGGAACCCAUGAUUGAUACCCCAUCUUUGCUUUUUUCUUCCUGGAUUUGUUGCUCUUUUUUCUUUACCCCGCUCGACAGUUCUUGAAGAUCGGGGAUAUGAUCUACUCUUAGUCUUGGUCUUGUGCUUUGGUCUCUUGUCUUUCCCACCCCGCAUCUUUUGGAUUGCAAAUGAAAAAGUAGACUGCCCAAGAGGAAGCGCUAAAGCCAUAAGAAAUGCUUUCAGACCAGUUGCUAGCAGUAUUGAAACAAGGAUGAAGGGAAGUGCCCAACCAAACGAUCUGAAGACCUGCCCUGGCCAACAAGAGAUUUUUUAAAAACACAACUUAGACCAGUUUUAUUCCAACUUGAAACCAAAAGCUGUGGAAAUGUCUUUAUUUGGAUAAUGCAAAGUGUAGCUUAAUUUGAAGCAUUAAUUGGAUAAAACCUCAAAAGAGUACAUUUGAAGUGCUAUAUUGCUUAACAACUCAUGGGUAGAAUCGAACUUACUCUACUUAAUUACAUGUUACAUGUGAGGAAUGCAAAAUUUCACCAUUGAUCACCUUCAAUGUGUUGGAUUUGAUACUUGCAAGUCCUUGCAUUCUAUUAACAUUCUAUUUUUCCAGCAUUCCAAUUAGACACUGUUUGACCUAUAUUUAGUUUAAAAUUUAGCAUGCAUCAUAAACUCUCAAGACAUUUAACAAUUCAAUGGUAAAAUUUUAGAAUAAUAUGCUUGUAGAGUUUACAAAAUAGUAGUUACACUUGAUGUAAUUCAAUUCCUUUUCUGAAUAUCAUGGGUAUAUUCUAAAGUUUCACCAAUUGUUCCCCAUUGUAAAGUCGGUUUGACCUCUAUGAAAAAUUUUAUGUUGCGUAGCCUUUUACCAAAUAAAAAUCGGAUGAUAAAGGCCGAUAGUACUUUUCUAGCAAAGACCUUGAGGCUCCAUCUGACAGCAUUCUUUGCAUACAUAGCGAAGUGGAAGUGGUCUCUUCAUCUAAGUCCAGAAUUUAGUAAUGACUGAAUGUAGUCUAGUCACUAUUAAAGGAAACAUGAGUUGGAAAAAGUUAGAUGUCUAUUUGGUCUGCAGAAAAUUGUCAUGUAGCUAUGUGAAGAAUGCAGGGGAAGGUAUAAAGUAAUACAUGUACUACAGUGCACAAAAGUACAAUAUGCAGCAGAACAGCCAAAAUCAGCAAUUUAUUUGGAAUUCUAUGUUAUUGCAGACUUCUCAUUUGCAAUGAAUUAGAAUUGGAUUCCCAACAGAUUUGGUUCUUUGUCACAGUAAAUUUGUUUGGUAAAGGAUGCAGGAAAUUAGGAAACACUUUGAUCAGGAGAAAUCGAGUUAGUUUUAGUUUCUUCCCUUCCUCAAUGUUUACCUUUUCUUUUGCAAUUUCUUUUAGCACUUAUUGUAGGAUCAAGCAUAGUUACAUCAUCAACUGCAAUUAGCAUCUGAUUAGCUAAAUUCUUAAGUACUCAUUUUUCUGUACCACUACAUCAAACUCAAGGAAGUUGAGCUUAAGUACUUACGUAGCAGAUAUUAAAGGAACCAUUUACAAGAGAAACACUUCAAAAAUAGUGCCAGUUAAAACUUUCAUUCAUCCAACAAAACCAUUAGCAUGAACAAUUCCUCUGAGUCCAUGCUUAAAAACAUUAUUAACUUAAUAUGGAACUGAAAACUUCCAUUUCAACACAAGAAUAAUCAUUCUCUUAUAAGAAAAGCACAGAAAAACAAAGAAAGGAAUACCUUAAUAAUCCAAAUACUGUCAAUAUAAUCUUCAAGAACCCCCAGCCCUUGUUCCACAAUGUCAUCAUUUCCAGUGUCAUCAUCAUCUUCUUCUUCAUCAAAAUUAUGAUUGAAGUUCCGGGUUCUGAAAGACUCUGCAUUGGAGUCCCACCUGCGACACCUGCAAAUUUGGAGCACUGGUUGGAGAAGAAGAUUAUGGUUGUACGGUAUAGUAGUGGUUGCGGUGGACGUGAGCUGGAGGGGUGGCUGCCAACUCCCUGGUGGUUGUUGACGGUGGUAGUGGUGGUGGAGUAUGAGAAGUGGAGGAGAGGGAGAAUGACACGGUUGGAGGUGAAGACCACAAGUGUUAGUGGUCUUCAUUAGUCGUUAGUCGUUACCAUCCUCAAGCUUUGGGAAAAGGGAUCGUUCUGAUAUUAGCUUUUGUCCCCAACACAACUUAUAUUUACGCAUUUCUCUCCUGUCAUCUUCUUUAUAUUUACCCUUGUGAUUGCAACUUUAGAUUUGGGAUAAAUAAACCAAACCUCAUGGAUUUGUGAGGAGGGGACUUUGUUAUAGUUAUACUAAACUCGAGGCUCCGCAUGGAUUAGACAGGUGUGUGUGAAAAAUUUUUACUGUAAUUUUGUUAUUUGUAUCUUAAUAAGCUAUAUGAAUACUCUUUUUUGUAUUUUUUAUUUUCCAAGCACACACAUUUUGUUAAUCUAAGUGUGCUUGUUCAUAUUUAUUGUUACCAUUUAUAAUUAUGCACUUUCUUGAUUUAAUUUUUUUUAGAAACUAACAUCUCAUCAUUGAGGUCAAAGAUGAAGAGAUAGUUACUUUAGAAAUUUUGCAACUCAUAACUAAUUAAUGUCAAAAUUAACUGUCCAAAUUGAUUUGGUUAGCAAUUUUACGUUCUCAUAAUCAUGAGAUCCCAUUCUUAUUCGAUAGUAUAGUAAUUUUUUUUUGUAAUCUUAUACAUUAUUUCAAAUGGUUAAUGAUAAUUUCUGAAAUCUUUCUUUCCAAUCCUAAGAAUUUCCUAACUUUCUCCUUAUUAGCUCCUCUUCUUCUGCACAUUCUAGUGUGCAACCAAAUAAGACUUGAAGCAUGGCUGUUAAUAGUUAUCAACUAAAAAAUUUUGAGCUCAUAUUUUUGGUUGAUAACACCAAAUUAAUUAAUAUUAGCUUGGCCUUAUGUUACAUAAACUUUUUUUACUAAACAUAACACAAUUUGCUAUCGAAUUAUGUUGAAUGUAGAGCAUUUUAUACUUUUAGUUUUUGUAUGUUGAUAGGAAAAUAAUAAAAACAAUAAAGUAAAGCUUUAAAAAAAUCACCAAUUUGUCUCCUUUUAAUUUAAAUUAGGUUAAAUCCCUUAGAAUUGGAAUUUGGCAUAAAGUGAUAACCAUUUGAAAUUGAGGAGGUGUGGAAGAGUAGUCCAACUUAUCCAAGAGAAUGAAAGGACAGAGAAUUACUCAUGUGGUGCUACUACAAUUGUUAGAACUUGCGGUCUCCAAAGUAAAUUACAAGCUUCCGUCAGGGACUGCACUCAAAUUUUAUGAAAAUCUUCAUCCCCUUCUUUUAAAGUCCAGAAUCUUCUCUUCUCGUUCCCACAAUAAUAAAUAAUUCAGGAAAAAAAAAUCAGAAAAAAUCAGAGGGAAAGAUUAUGAAGCCAAUGCCGAUCGAUUUCUUUGCGGACCUGGAGGAGCAAGGAACAACCGUCGCUAUGGACGUGGACGAUGCUGAAGCCCUAGAGAUCUUCGGCGGCGGAGAAGGGCCUAUCGCCGCCAUGGAACACCACCGUCUCGCCGAUGCUGAUUUCUUCAAUUCUUUCCAGGACGACUUCGACGACUCCGACAUCAACUAAAAUAAUAAUCAAUUGCUAGUUAUUACCAGUCCUUAAUCGCCCAUCCCAGGGUUUUGAAUUUUCGGUUUCUAAACUCUAAUUACGUAUGUUAUGUGAUUAGUUAUGAGGCUGUUGAUGGAAUGGUGGUUUUGUGGAUGUUGGAUUAUGGAAUUUUAUAAAGAUAAUUGAAUUAUCCGCUGCUGAAGUUUUUCAAUUUGUUUUUGUUCUCGUAUUUUUUCUGGUUGUUUAUUUGAAUUCUGUGGGUAUUAAUUACUUCUUUUUGCUAAUUUCUAGUUUAAGCUGUGGGAUUGGCGUCUGCAUUUUCUGGACAAAUUUACUGCCUGUUAAGACUUCAUUUGCAGGAAUGUAUGCUUUCUCCAAAGCAGUAGUUUUGUGGGUUUUUAUUUCUAAGGAAGUUUCAGCAACUAGGUUUUAAUGAAUUGGCAGGAACGAAUUCAAC
This 58996-nucleotide long non-coding RNA is filed under the name Coffea arabica (coffee). RNAcentral's name for it is "long non-coding RNA (CARA_LNC002123)". The stretch from base 16564 to 16670 matches the Rfam family "Plant small nucleolar RNA R71". Lineage: Eukaryota; Viridiplantae; Streptophyta; Magnoliopsida; Gentianales; Rubiaceae. The record is from RNAcentral.